UUUUUUUUUUUUUUUUUUUUUUGCAAAAUUAGUUCUUUCUCCAUUUUGUCUAUGUAAAUUAGUUUGACAUUCUGACUAAUAAUGGUCAUACCUAUGAUAUUUGUAGCAUUCAACAUUAGACUUAUCUACUGACUUUGGUUUUGAAUUAUUGAUGGAUGGCCUCCUUGUCCUCUCUUCUCUUUUUGAAAUUGAUUUUCUUAGUGAUGGUAUUGUUGUUAUUGGUUACUACGAUCAUUGUUUCUGCCUCUGCCUCCUCUCCAUGUUGGGUGACUUUUUGUUGAACUCUUCAAUGCUUGUUCCUCUUUUUCUUGCUGGUUAAUUUUUUGCUCAUAGACCAACGGAAAGCUCUACAACUCAUCAAUUGAAAGUGCAUCAAUGUCUUUCAAUUCCUCUAUAGAUUAUACAACAAAAUUAAAUUUUAUUGUCAUCGAUCGAAGGAUCUUCUCAAUAAUGGUGACGUCCUCCAAAUUCUCUCCAUGGAUCCUCAUCUUGUUCGCGAUUGCCAUCAUUUUUGCGAAAUAAUUUGUGAUCGACUCACUUGACUUCUUGCGUAAAAUCUCAAAUUUGGUCUGAAGAGUUUGAAUCUGCACUAGUUUUGCUUUCGCAUUUUCUUGAUAUUUCUUUUUUAUGGAAUCUCAAAUCUAUUUGAAGAUAUCUUUACUAAAAAUUAUUUUCAAGAUGGCUCGAUCAAUAGUUUAAAAGGUAAUUCUUGAAUUUAAGAUCCUUCAGUUUCAAUGCUUCCAAGUUCCAACUCUAUUUUCUACACCUUUGACAAUACUACUCCCAUUUUUUGUUCUGUUAUUCCAAAUCCGACAACUUGUCAAUGCUCUUUGGAUUUUAAGAAGUUCUCCAUUAGUAUGUUCUAAUGAUCAUAGUGACCUUCAAAGCGAGGAAUUGCUGUUGCACAAAGUUGUUGGUAGCAAUCAUGACUUACCAACAAAAUUUUUACAACUCACUUUUGUUUUUACUCAAGAAACUAGCUUUGAUGUUACUGUUACAAUGACUGAAAAAUAAUAAGAGAAGCAAAGAACUAAACUUUAUUUCUUUGUAAAACUAAUAUUUAAUUCAUAACAUGAAAUUGCUCUAUUUAUGGAGUUCAAAACAAUUAUACUAACUAUCCCACUAACUCUACUGCCCAUUAAUUAGUAGAACAAAACAAACAAACAUGAUUAACUAAUAACAGUAAAUAUUUUAACAGUUUUCUCAUCCUGGCUUUAAGUAAAAAAUGAAUAAAAAUAACUCCCGAAUUUCUUAGAAGGUAGUCCUGUACAAAGUGGACAUUUUAUCAAACCGAAGUCUUCUCAUGUUUACUUUCGUUUUUCAUUUUUUGCCCUUUCCUUUUUCGAUGGAGAAAAUGUAAGUCGUCCCUCUUCUCAAUCUCCCUCUUUGGCUCCUCCAUUUUCUCCGAACUCCCGAGUCUUUGGACUUUCCCGCACUAUUUUUUAUUUAGCAGUCUCAAGUCUUAACAAGUCGUCAACGAUUCCACUUUUCAAAGUUCUGAUUAUAUUUUUUUCCCUUCUAACCCUUCUGAGAAUCCUAAGUUUCUACUUGUCAUUUUUGUUGGAUUUCACUGAUCUUUGAUCUCAAUCUUUACACUGCCAAUUAAUCAAGAAUGGUAUGCUUUAGUGGAUUUUCCUGGUGGGUUUUCGAUUUUGGAUGCUGCUAGCUAAUUCUUUGAUAUUCAGCCGCAGAAAGUGCUGAUUUUUGGAAGUUUUUGAUGCUUCAGUUUUCCCGUUGAAGACCAUUUUGGAGGUUAUUGAUGCUGACCCUUUUAGUAUUUUGAUCUCAUUUUUACUGGGUUGCCACUUUUGAUCUUUAGUUCUGGAAAUUCAUCAAGUUUGAACCUUUAUUGCUAGUGAUAAGAUGCUGUUGUUUACGUUUACUAGGAAAAGAUUGGUACUUUGUCUGUAAGUAUGGUGAAGGGAUCUUGAUAGUCAAUUCUGUUUGAUUGAAAGAAUGGCCGCUCAUGGGAAAUUAAGAAUCAAGGACGCGGCUUUUCGCCGUUUCUUGUCUGUAGCUGUGAUCACGUUGUUCGGAGCCAUUUUGAUAAUAUUUCUUCAUAGGUACAGCCCUGUUUCUGAUUCUGUAAUCAGGGAUGCAUAUGAAAGUGCUGAGAGUUUGCAAGUGACUUUUAAUUAUAGUCAGAGAACAGAAAAUGUGAAUCUUCCUAAGCAGAAUGAAUUGUCAAUUCGACUUCAGAAGCAAAAUGAGUUACCUCCUAGGAACUUGAAUUUAUAUCCUAAGCUAGCUAAGGAUAAUAUAGUGAUAGUUUUGUAUGUUCAUAACCGGCCCCAAUAUCUCAAAGUGGUUGUUGAUAGCCUCUCAAGAGUAGAGGGGAUCAGUGAGACUUUACUUCAUUGUUAGUCAUGAUGGAUAUUUUGAAGAGAUAAAUAGGAUUAUCGAAGGGAUCAAGUUUUGUCAAGUGAAACAGAUUUUUGCCCCUUAUUCUCCUCACAUCUUUGAGAAUAGCUUCCCUGGUGUCUCCCCAAAUGAUUGUAAGGACAAAGAUGAUCCUGUUAAGAAGAAAUGUGAAGGAACGCCUGAUCAGUAUGGAAACCACCGGUCCCCGAAGAUUGUGUCAUUGAAGCAUCACUGGUGGUGGAUGAUGAACACUGUGUGGGAUGGGUUAAAGGAGACUCGUCAGCAUCUAGGCCAUAUUCUUUUCAUAGAGGAAGACCAUUUCAUUUAUCCUAAUGCCUAUCGUAAUCUUCAGCUACUAACAGAGUUGAAGCCUGUGAAAUGUCCUGAUUGUUAUGCUGCGAAUCUCGCGCCAUGUGAUGUGAAAGCAAAGGGAGAGGGUUGGGAAAGUCUGAUUGCAGAGAGGAUGGGCAACAUUGGUUAUGCAUUUAAUCGGACUGUAUGGAAAAAAAUACAUAGGAAGGCAAAAGAGUUUUGUGCCUUUGAUGAUUAUAAUUGGGAUAUAACAAUGUGGGCAACAGUUUACCCUUCAUUUGGGGCUCCUGUUUACUCUUUACGAGGACCUCGGACUAGUGCUAUUCACUUUGGAAAAUGUGGUUUACAUCAAGGUCAGGGUGAGAAACAGGCUUGCGUUGAUCAUGGCUUUUCGAAUAUUCAAGUGGAAAACAUUGACAAAGUUCCCAACAUUAAAACAGACUGGGGAGUACAUAUAUAUUGGAAACAAGCAGGGUAUCAAGCUGGCUUUCGGGGCUGGGGAGGCUGGGGUGAUACAAGGGACCGGCAAUUGUGUUUGGAUUUUGCUAAUAUGUAUGAUUUGCGUAGCACUUGACCAUCUUUUGGAGCAUCUUGAUCAUUAAACAUAGUGAGUUCUGAAUUUUUUCCCCAGUUCUCAAGGAUAGCAUAAGUAAAUCUUACAUGUUUGUCACAUGAGGGUUAAAGUUUUAUUACUUUUGAAUGUGUUUUGACUAUACCCAAAUAAAUUCAAAAUUUUGCCUUACUAUUCUGGAAAUUUAUUAACUUGUUUAAGCUUUUGUUUCUAAUUUUAUGGUUAUUAGUGGCAUUUUCCUUAUGAACUUAACUAGAAACUUUUUAUUCUUUAUUUUUUGAGCUGUAACCUAUUACAUUUUCUGUGCAGCGUGUGUGUGUGAGAUUUAGAUGGAGGUAAAAUCUUGUGGGGGAUAGAAAAUUUUUUCUGUACUAAAUUGAAUUAUUAAUUGCAUAUAUACAAGUAUUAACAUCAUGUAGAGUGACAUGUUGAAACUAAAUCCUCCCUGCAAGUGGAGGUGCUUUUUUAAUCGGAAAAAUUAUGAACAUUGGUAGCUAUGGCUAACUUGUGGAUAGUACAAUAGAAUCACGUGAAAGAUAACAAAAGAGUUUAUUAGUUGCUUGCUACUUUUCUCUGCCUAUUCUGAGAGUACAAUUGUCAAUAUUCGCAGUUAGGCAGAAAUUCUUCUUUCUUAGAUAUUCCUUCUUCUCCUGAAAAAUUCUUCCUGCACAAGUUACUCAUUCUUCUAAUUUGUUCAUAUGAAAGUUAAGGUUAUUAUGAGAGUGUUACUAGUCGUAUGUCUGCUGUAUUGAAGAAGUAUGGAAACAAAUUUCAGUUUUCACUAGGACUGAGUUUCCUUUCAAAGCAAAGUCCCACGUAAGAAAAUGUAGGACAUUAUGGAAGGUUUAUCUUCAGUUCUAAACUUUUUAUGAGUGAACGGAUACAAUUAGGAAGAAGGAAGUGGCUAAUCAUGAUGGCUACAAGCUAAGAUCUACUUAUUAGUAGAGCUUUGUCCCAUACGCAUGAAGAAUCUCCUUAGAGUUUGGGUUCUUGUGAGAUCUUGCAUUGGAACCAUGCUAUUUCUGCACUUUGUAACGUUUAACAAACAAAUGAAUGUGCCUUCCUUAGCAGAUCUUGUACUUGAACAGUCUUCUUACUGCAUUGUUUAAGGUUUAACAAACAAAAGAAGACUGAAACUUCAAUGGGUUUGGCAGGAUAAAACAACUAUGGUAUGAUGUUAGGAAUCCUGUUCAAACAUAGAUUUGGGACAUCAGCGAAAAACCAGAGUAACUUUGGACCAAUGUUCUUUUUCAUUUUUUUUUUCUGGUGGGUUGAGGGAGAAGGAUAACAUGCUCUUGUUUUUAAGUAAACAAAAUUAAUCAUACCAGAGCUGACUUAUUGUAUUUUCUUUUUGCCAAUAUGAUUUCUAACAUCAAAAAAGCUAUCCUAGUUUCGUAGGAAGUUUCUGAUUCUAAGCAUGUUCUGGUUGCAUCCUUGUGUAGUAACAUGUUACAAACUGUCAGAAACUUUUAUCUCCUUUCUGCUUCUGUUUCCCCUUUCACUCUCUGUGUAUCCCACCAGUCCAUCCACUGGAACACGAAUUGAUAUUUCUUGUCAAUGGCAGCUCCCAAAAAGAAAACAGGACAGCAUCACACCAAAAGGCAGAGAACUGAAGAUAAGAUGAAAGCCCCUAAGAAUUCAUGUCUAAGGGACAUGUUGUUCAGUGUAUAGUCAUUAUAUUAGCUAUUAGUGCUAAUAAAUUCCAGUGCCAAAUUCAAAUUUAGCACCUAAUAUUGUUCAGUUAUAAUACUUAAUUAGCUUUGCGUAUUACGAUUCAUGCUGAUAUGAGAUAUCCAUCAUGUAGUAUGUAAUGUAUCAACAGUAUACUCAUUGCGGUAUUGCAUUCCUGCGGUUGUUUGGCGUACUAAAGUAUCAAGGAAUUAUUUCUUUUUCCCUUUUCAUCCUGUUUCUUUCAUUUUUCGAGUACCUGUUAAUCUGAAAUAAUUUGUUUGCUAUCUUCUAUAUCCCUUUUUUUUCAUGUGAAAUACCUCUAAUUUACGCUCCUUCUUCCCGCACCACUUCACCCCCUUCCUCUCUGUAUUAUGCUUGUCAUGUUGAUAAAGUCAAAGCACUUUUUAGUUUCUUCUUUCAAUAUAGUCCAAAUGCAUUGCAAUGUACCCCGUCUCUUCUUCUUCUUCUUCUUCUUCAGGCUUGCUAAAAACUUUGGGAAAAUGACAUCUUUAGUUCCUAACGUUUUUUUCGUCCAUCACUUCUAAAAUGAAGCAAACUAGUACCACCAGAAUGACAACUUGAUAUAGAUUUUAAGAUACAGUUGGAACAUCACUUUAGUUUCUUCCAAGCCGCUACACGUGCAUCCUAUGACAUGAGACCUCGUUACACGAACAAGUACACUGCCAAAGAAAGACAAAAGAAAAAUCCUUUUAUCAACGAAAUGGAUUUGGGACAGGUGAGGUUGAGAUUUUUGUACGAGUGUGUAGUCGUUAUAUUUCUUAUAUGAUAUGAUAUAUACUCAUAAGCUUUGUUGUACUCGUAUGUAUGAUAUUUUUUUCAGAGUAAAUUUUAUAUACGCUGUCAGUGUAUACACUGUUACGAUUGAAUAGAUAAAACAUGAGCUUGUGACAUAUGUCUAAUGGUGAUAGUGUAAACAUUCACAGUGUAUAUAAGAUUAAUCCUUUUCUUUUGACGCAUUCUCUAAUUCAAUGUAUGACAACAACCUAGUACCAAUUGCACCAAAAGCAAUUGUAUUGUACCUACCUAAUCCCUCAACAAGAUAAACAUAAUUGCCCAUUAAUGGUUCAUCCACAAACCCAGCAUUAAAUUGAUGCCAAGACCAUCCCAAUACGGUUAGUUAAAUAAGGAUCAUUUUCAUUAGGAGCUUAUCCCAUGAGUCCCACCCAGAUUUCAUUUAUUAAUAGGUGAAAGGUUGUGUCUAUCGCUAUACAAUGUCCUUUGCUACGCUAUUGCCUCCAAAUAUAAUUGAUCCCAACUUUUCCAAAUAUAAGUCACUGUCGCAUUCCUCCGUUUGAUCACUUGGUUGAGUUUUGACAACGUAGCUAAGGGAGUAGAGAUGGAAAUGGGGCAGCGACGGUUGCACCUGAGCGGUUGAUGGCCAUGAUUUGGCCUCAAAAAUUUGUGCGGCUGAGAUUACAAGUUGUAACUCGAUUUUCACGCCAUGUGUGGGCCCCACAAAAUUUGCUCUAAAGUUACGCGAUGUGUAAAAAAAGUUACACGAUGUACAAAGAAAGUUACGCGCAGUUGAUAAUGACCAAAACCGCCUGGGACGGUUGCAGGUGCAACCGUCCGUGCCUCGAGUCCGUAGAGAUCACCUUCAAUCAGUCAUAUUCGUAACUCAGAUUGUCGGCCAUGAAUGAUUAGUUCCAAAACAUAGGACCCCUACGAAUUAUUAUAUGUGUUUUUAGAGGUGUUUUUUGAAAUAUUACAUUAUAGAAUUAUAGGUCAAAAACUUGUUAAUGUGGAUGUGUUUUAGCGUGUUUUUUAAAAAUUUUAAAUUUUAUUGAGAUAUUUUUGAAAAUUUAUUGAAUAUUUCACCAUACACAACCGCCGCCAGGCUUCACCUCCUCCCUCUUCCAUUAUCGCCACUGUCCCUCCUGGCCCCCUUCCUCCUCCUCUCUCCUUUCUUUUUCCUUUUUCUUUCCCUUCUUCCUCCUUCCUCCUUCCUCCUUCUUUCUUCUCCUUCCUCUUCCUCUCCUCUCCCAAAUCGGAUGUGGCUGUCAGUGUUCAUAAGGUGGAGGUGUUGGGGGGCAUUGUUAGUUGUUCUGUUCAUGGUAAAAGCCUCGAGCUGGGGGCUUAAGCCCCACGAAUUGCAAUUCUCAAUAAUUCAAGAAUUAAUAAGAUGCUAGAAAUAUUCAAUAUUUAUUAAAAAUGAUAAAAUGCCAACUGACUAUAUAACAUCUAAUCAAUAGAAUGAUAACUAAACAUGAAAAAGAACUUGAAAGGGUUAUAAAGUUCAGAAAUUCAAAGCACAUUAGCUGUAAAUUGUGAUUUCAAAGAGCACGAAAAAACGAUUAGUUAUUUGAUCGAACUACGAAAAUUAAUAUAGUGCACAUAAGGGUACGUAGUAGAAAAAAAACACUAAAGAGCUCCAUUUGUGCUGUGAUUUUUUUUUUUUGAAUAUUUUUUCUUUUAUUUUUCUUUGUUCUAACAAAAGGAUUUAGGUGAAAUAUCGAACUUCACUGCUAGAGGUGUUGUUGAGGCAAUAGCCUAAUACUGUUGACCGCUCUGGAGUAUGGUCAUUCUGCUUUUCUUAUAAUUUUUUCCCUCUCUUUCUUGAAUUUGGAUUUUAUGCAUUGCAUUUUUUGCAGAAUUUUUGGUAUUUUGUUUCUUUUUUUGGACAUAGGCCUAUUAGUCAAUUUAAGAAAUAGCCUAACAUCAUUUGAUAUCUGUUUAAGUAACAAGGGGUGACUGCUAUUUCCAAAUAACCUGUUGUAGUGGCUUUGAUGAAUCUUCCCAACAAACAUUCACCCAAAUUGUACAAUAGCAAAACACGGAACAAGACAAAAGCAACGACAUUAAGACCUUCAAACUCCUGGCUUAAUUUUAGCACUCAAUCAUCAAUUAUCGAUAGCAGUUGAAUUUAGGGCAGCAAACUUUAGCAGCUCUUCAUCCUUCUCAAAUAUGGACAUAUUUGAUUCCUCCAGUGUCACUAGAGCUUCUAUGCCUCCUGAUUUCGGGUUAUCCAGCAAAUGAAAGGUAUUUUUCAUCUGACUAGUGCUAGUUCCCACCCAUAUUGGUCUUCCCCAACCAAAGUUGACUAGAUUAAACGGAUAUCUACACAAGCUGCUACAUCUGUAGACCUCAAUUUCGCCCUGAUUUUGCCUCAUCACUUUUCUUGCCCCUUCAAUGGACUCACAUAUAAGUGAGUAGCAAUUAUCAGCACUUAAUCCACUCCCAAACUUCUCAGAAAACCCUUGAGCUGCUUUCUUCAGUGCAGAGAUAAUUGUUGUCAUAUUCUUGUCUUUUUCAUCAAUUGUCAUGAUUGAGAAAAACCAAGAAAAAUUUCCAGCACAAUUAUCUGGCAAUGGUGGGACAACUCGGGGCGCAUAUUUGCAGCCUGCAUUAACAUUGAUGGCCUUGACAUGCCUGAUUUUGCCUCUGAUGCAGCCAUAGCACACUUGUAAAUCAGUGCAGCCACAACUUCAACCCUACUAGGACUAUGAAUUUUUCCCAAAUCAUCGGAUACCAUAGUCUUGAGGUCAGAGAGCUUGGAAGGAUUAAAAGAAAACCUCCUCGUGACAACAUUAAUGUUCUUGUCAAGGUUAAUUCCGGGGACAGUGAUUUCACCCUUAUACGGUGAGAUCACUUGUUGUGUAAGGAACAUGGGAGAGACCAUAGAACCACUAGCUAGAGCAGCCCAAUCAUUGAUGAAUCCAAGCAAAGCACAGGCAUCAGUAACCUUGUGUAGCAUGGACACGCUGAUUGCUGUUCCUCCACAGCUGAAAUAGGUUACUUGCACAAUAAAGGGACUUCCCUGGAAAGAUUCAUUGAACAGCAUUCCAGGUGGAGAGAACAAAUCCAUGGUCUCCGGGUCAGGGUUCUUCAGGACAUCAGAGAUUUUGCAUUCUAUACGGGCUUCGUAGAAAUCGAGUCCUUCAUCAUUACAAUCAAUCGAGUCCUUGUUAGGGGCUAGUCUUCCAGCAAAAGGGUAGUAAUGAGUCAGGGUUUCUGAUAGAGAUUUCUUGAGAUGAGAAGAUACGGUAGUGUUGUUGGAUGAAUUAUCAGAAUCAGGUGGUGGGUAGAAGAGAACUAUAGGGAGGUAGAAAUGUGGGGAAAGCUGAUCUAACACAGAGAGAUUGUAAGUCUUCAAGUGUUCUGAGGUAGGAAGGGAGGGCUUGAUGAGAACCUUUGAGAUCAUUUGAGGCUUUACGCUUGCCAUUUCAAUGCCAAAUUUACUUUGGUGGGAACCUUAAAGAUAGAAGUAUAUAUAAGGGUUAUGACCAAGUUACACAGGUUUGUUAGUUAAAGCAACUCAAUUAGUCUCAAUAUUUUCGAAUACCCAAAAAAAAAAAUUGUAGGCUAUAACUUUUGAGUUUUUUCUUGCUAUAUAUAUAUAUACUCUCUUCGUCCCACUUUGAUAGUCUUGGUUUUUUUUCACACAGUUUAAGAAAAAAUAGUUAACUUUGUUGGAACAAUCAAUUUAAGUAACUAUUUUCCUAAAAUGCCCUCACAUUAAUUAGAGUACAACUUUAUGGGAAGUUGAAUUGAUGGUAAAAAAAAAAAAUCAACUCUCAUUAAAUGGGAUAGGUUUAUAGUAACAACAACUUACACUGAAUAAGGGUAUUUUAGAAAAAUUAAAAUAUAACUACAUUUUUCAAUUGGAAAGUGGAUCAUAAUUUGGAACAGACGAAAAAGGAAAACAGGACUGUCAAAAUGGGACGGAGGGAGUAUAUAUAUUCUAUUCUAUUGUUGGCAAACAAGUCCAAUAGUUGGUCAUCGACCAAUGUAAGAGCUCCAGUUAUCAUUAAGAAACCUACCAUUUUUCAUGUGAUAUACAUUUAUUUACUGAUAUAUAUAUAUAUAUAUAUAUAUAUAUAUAUAUAUAUUCUUGCAUGCUCGAUUUUUUAGCAGUCAAUUAAGGGCAUGUGCCCCAUUUUUUAUCUGCCUUAGCAGGCAUUAAAAGGAAAAAUUAAUGAAAUGCAGUACCCAAAACUCUAGGAUAGGACCCAUCAAUCACCAGAAAUUGGCUGACAAUUCAACGAGUAGACAGAUUAGAUAAUGGUCCAUUUAUUUCAAUUGCUUUUCGGCCAAAAUGGUAGAAACAUGGCGAACUCAUUCUUGGCAUCCUGUCUUAAUCGCUAUGAAAUAUUCGGUUCAACCAUACUCACUGAAUCAAUAAAUCCCAGCCGGUGGUUACCGAUCUCUGUCAGGAACAAAUUGAAGUUUGAAACUUUAAAUAAAGAAAAUGAAAGAAAAAAAGAGAUAAUCAGCCUCAUGCUAGUUGGUAUUCAAGGUUUUAACGUACGGGAGUGGACCAAAAAUAGUAAUAUUUUUGGGAUAAUACUUUUUUGAUAUAAUGUGUGUGAAAUAAAAAAGAUAAUUAAAAAAUAAAUUUACAAUACAAGUAAAUAAAUUUAUACAAAUAAUCCGCUGUUCGAACAAAUUCACUAGUGAUACACGUCAAGACAUUUUUUUUUUUUUUAAUGUUAUUGGUAUUUGGUAGAGAAAAAAUUCUCGUAGGUAUUGCUGAAAGCAUUUAAAUUUUGAUCGGACCCAAAACCAAAUACAACGGCGGCAGAAUUAUAUUGCUGAUUGGAGUGGGAACGAAAUGAAUUCAAUUGAUUACUCGGGAUAGACAAUUGUGGUUGGUUUUGUCUUCUUUCGAAGUUCUGUGGCAAGAAAAGGAAAUGAGGCCAUGAGGGAGAAACAUGAGACUACUGGAUAGUUUAGUAUCCUCUACCAAAGUGGAGAGAAAUGAAGUCAAAAUAAGAAGCUUCAAAUAAUUUAUUUACUUUGCCAAAUUUGCCAUAAAAAAGACCACUCAAUUCGUUAGUUUCUCUCCUUACUUUUUUUUAAUGAAAUUGUUUUCUCCUCACAUUACUUAAUAUUUCUGUCCUUGUCAUUUCUUUAAUUAAGAACCAAAAAACGAUUCUAAUCAUUUCCCUAAUUAUCAAGAACCAAAAUUAGGUAAAACGAUUCCAAUCAUGUCCCUAAUUAUUAAGAACCAAAAAUAGGUAAAACGAUUCUAAUCAUUUCCUUAAUUAUUAAGAACCAAAACUAGGUAAAACGAUUCUAAUUUGGCCACAUUCGAUUGAAUCGUAACAUAGUUUCUUUUUUUUUUUUUUUUUAAUAGUGUAAAUGGAAGGUCCCGAAUCCGAACCUCUCAUUUACGCUGAUUUCUCCUAUAUCGCCCAACUCAUCUUUUCCCCCUACCCCCUUUGAGCAAAACAGAGUUAAUAAACAUUUGUGCUGAUCACUUGAGAAUUAAAGAAUUUGUUGUCAAAUUGUUGGGGAUGCAUGUUUUUUUCUGAAUAAUGUAGGUUUUCUUCUUUAAAUUCUAUCAACCAUCAGCACUUGCUAAUAGUUGUACUUCGAAAGCCAUGUGAAGAAAAAUAUAGCAUGAUAAGUUAACGGACGACAAUAUAGAAAAGUGUCACUUCUUGAACCAAGUCCAUGCUUUUUGAACACCUCUCCGUGCUAUCCUUUCAUUUCAUUUUUUUCGAUAGUCGAUAACAGUCUAUUUUAGACCUACUCCUAUUCUUAUUCUAACUUAUUUUAGGAGGAUUCAAUUGGACCUAUGAAAGAACCGACGAGAACUGAACUACUGUCGGAUCAAAUGAUUGUACCAGACACUCGUUUGGAUUUGGAGUUUCAUUUCAUGUAAUAUAUCAAUUUGCAACAGUAAAAAAUUGGAAGAAGCAUUGAACAUUUUGCCUUUCACUAUUCAAUUUUUGAGACACAAUUAUGUCUAAACGUAGAAGAGAUCUCAAUUUUCUUGACUAGCUAAAAUUUCAGCCUAAACAAAGAUCGGUUAUACGGGCAAUUAGCUCUUUAAUUCGUGUUAGUGCCUCAUCGACCUAAUCCCAGAUUACAACUAUAAAUACGCUAGGCCGGAUUAUAAGAUUGACAACAACCAAAAGACAGUUUGUGAUCAAUCUUAGCAAAGAUCUCUAAUAAUCAACGUUGUCUAGCUAGGUAGCUAAUCAUGGAAUAUGACCAAGUAUGCUUUUUCACGGCUUUGAUAAUGGUCAUGGUCUCCAUAGUCUAUAGUUUGCUAAGGAAAACAAACGACUGGAUAUACGUGAGCCCUUUGGGUGGACUGCAAAAAACACUACCCCCUGGUGACUUGGGCUUCCCUUUGAUUGGCAAUAUGUUUUCUUUCUUCAGAGCUUUCAAGUUUGGUAAUCCUGAUUCAUUCAUCUCCUCCUUCACUACCAGGUCUCCUCUCUAUCUCUCCCUCCCUUUUCUUUUUUCAGGUAUCAUUAUUGGCAUUCCACUUGCUCAUGUUUAAAGCUUUUUUUCUUUUGGGCAUAAACUUUCUGGAUAUAGAUAUGGGCAGGCGCCAAUGUACCGGACACUACUGUUUGGAAAGCCAAGCAUAAUUGUUACAACAGCUGAAGCAUGCAGAAAAGUUUUGACAGAUGAGCGUUUUGGACCCGGUUGGCCUAGAUCAGUCUCAGAUUUGGUAGGAAAGAGAGGACUCCACGGCGUAUCGAAUCAAGAACAUAAGCGUCUCCGGCAGCUAAUAGCAGCUCCAGUUGCCGGUCAGGAAGCAUUAUCACUGUUUAUUGGCUAUAUUGAGGAUAUCGCUAGAACUACGUUUGAUACAUGGGCAAGUAAGGAUGAACCAAUUCAGCUGUUAACUGAGAUGAGGAAAACUGCUUUUAAGGUGAUGAUGAACAUUAUUAUGGGUAACGAAAUUAAUGAUGAAAAAUCAUUGGAUCACAUGGAACAUGAAUAUACUGUACUUUCUAAUGGACUCAAGUCAAUGGCCGUAAACCUCCCUGGUUUUGCGUACCACCGGGCACUCAAGGUGAGGAUUCCUAACCUUAAUAAAAUGCUAUUUCUUUGUGUCUCAAUCUCUUAGGGGUAAUUUAUCUUAACCCUGUAGUAAAUAAUUUGCGUAACGGAGGCAAAUAACACCUUAAGAAUAACAUUGUCAUGCCUCAAGAUCAUCAAUCCAACCUCCAUUUUUGCUUAUACAAGAACUAAGUGUAUAUUUGAAGUUCUUUUCAAGAUCUAAUCUAGAAAUGUUUGCCUGUUUUGACGCGGGUGUUAGGCAAGGAAGAGCUUAGUGAAGACAUUUGCAGCAAUUGUGUGCAAAAGGAGGAUGCUGUCCAAAAGUAAUAAUGUUGAAUCAAGGACUAAAAAGGACUUGUUAACUUUGAUGAUGGAAAUCCAAGACGAUGCGGGAAACAAAUUGAACGACGAGCAGAUUGUGGAUUUGGUAAUCAUAUUCUUGUUAGCUGGGCAUGAAUCUUCCGGUCAUGCUGUAACAUGGGCCAUUAUACUCCUUCACGAGCAUCCUCAGACCUUACAGAAGGCAAAGGUAGGUACAUAUUCGUCUGAGUAAGACUUUGAGAGUAAUAAUUGCUGGUAUAUAUGUUCGGGCAAUAUAACUUUGUAGGGACUUAAAUUUAUACAUUUUAGGAGGAACAAGAGGACAUUGUGAAGAGAAGAGCAUUUUCAGAUACAGGGCUAAACUUCAGGGAAAUUAGACAAAUGAAGUAUCUUCAGAAGGUAAGCAUACGUAAAAUACAUGCAUUAGAGCAGGAUCUGUUACUUAUUCAGAAUUACAUUUAAUUUUCAUCGUACUCAAUAAAAUCGAAUUUUGACUAUGACACCAUUCCCUUUUUUUUUUUUUCCAACCUUCCCACUCCCCUAUUACCUUCCUACCCCAAAUCUGCCAAUUAGGAGGAUUACCCUGAUUUACUUACGAGGCGAUAGCUUUCCUAAUAUACAUGCAAAUGUACAAUAUUUAUGUUAGAUACAAGUAGCUUGCGUUGUUAAGGUGAGCUUUAAUUCUAGGGUACUCAUUCUAGUGUGACACUAGUCGAUCGCAAACUUUUCAUUUGAUCACAAAUUCAUACAUACUUUGAAGUUCAUGGCUUAAGUAAUUUUGCUUUAGCAUAUACAUUCUCUGUUUUAAAACUCGAACUGGACCGGCCGGUCGAACCGGUCGAACCAGGAACCGGCCAGGUAGUCGGUCCGAGUUAUAUUAAAAAAUCGGAAAUUUAAAACCGGUCAAAAACCGUGUUUGACCGGGAAAAAAUCGAUUUUUCUGGUUCAACAGUAAUUUUUUAAAAAAAAAUUCAACCUUUUAAUAUUAUGUUUUGACCCCCUAAAUUGUUAAAACUUAUUGAUAUACCUCAAAUAUUUGAUACUUUAUAAAUAUUGUCCUAAAAUUUGAUGUUAUUUUUCAAUUAAAUUCAUAAUUUUAAUUCUAAACUUGUUAAUAUUUAUUAAAUAAUAUAAAUUGCUACUUGAUUGUUCUAAUUUCUUUGUAUUUUCUUGUUAAAUAUAUUUGAAACAUCAAAUAUAUAUGAAUAUACCUUUAUUAAUAUCAAUAUAUUAUUAGAUAUUAUAUAUAUAAUAUUUUAAUUUUUAAAUAAUUUUUAUUUAUGACGUCAUCCGGUUCGACCCCUAUCGACCCCGGUCGAACCCAUUGACCCCUGAUCCCUGACCUCGGCCGAGUCACUAUCCGGUCCGGUUCUGAAAACAUAGUAUACAUUCCGAGUUGAUUAACGAGGGCUCUUAUGUACUCUUGGACGAGCUGCAUAUAUAUUACUACUUUGUACAUUCUUCUUGGGGAGUGUAAAAUCAAAAUUGGUCCAUAAUUAGAAUUUGGCAACUUUUAUUUUCUUAAAGAUGCUUAGAUAAUUGGUAUUAGGAUUCGUUAUAAUUGAUGGUUUUGUGUUAUUAAGAUAAUUGAAUAAAUUAGAGCAUAUAUUAACCUAUCACAGUUGUUGGUAUUGUUUUGCAUAGGUAAUUGAUGAAACACUGCGAGUAGUAAACCUCUCAUUUGCACUCUUUCGAGAAGCAAAAAGUGACGUAGACAUAAACGGUUUGUUAUUACCUUACCUUUCUCUCCUUGUAUCAAUUUUAUUUGGUUGUGACUUUUAAUAAAAGCGAGGUCUCUUAGGUUAUACGAUACCCAAAGGAUGGAGAGUUUUACCAUGGAUCAGGAACGUUCAUUUUGAUCCUCAAAACUACAAGAGCCCAAAAGAUUUCAACCCCUCAAGAUGGGAGGUACGUGAAAGCUUUAAUUUGGUAUUUGUUUUGACAAAUUGUAUCUGUAGAAUAAAUUUUUUUGUUGGCUAAAGACUAGAAGAAGGAAAAAUAUAAAGAAUCCUCAAUUUUGUCUGUUUGAAAAAAAAUCUCAGGAUCCCGCAAUCAAAAUAGGGACUCUGGUUCCCUUUGGAGCUGGUAGUCGGUUGUGCCCCGGUGCAGAUUUGGCCAAGCUUGAAAUUUCUGUCUUUUUACACUAUUUCCUUCUAAACUACAGGUAAAAAUUCGAGAUUUGCAUUACUUUUUCUCCCUGUUUGAGAAGUCCUUUUCUUUUGCAUUGUAGUUUUUAUAUAUCAAAAUUAUUUUUGGCAGGCUUGAACGCAUUAAUCCAGGAAGCAGGGUGCAAUACCUACCAAUUACUAGGCCGGCUGACAAGUGCCUGGCUAGAAUCAAGAAGUUGACAAAGUCAUAUGCAUGAAUUAGUAGUACGCUACAAAGAUGUUGACCAGCUACCGGCUUGUUAUAGUGAUAUAUAAAUAUCUGUAUCUAGAUAUAUAUAAAUUGAAAAUAUGCUUCUUUUCAUCUUUGGUGAUUGUAUAUUCAAAGCAUCCACAUUGGUCUGUAAAUGGUUCUGUGUAUGCUGUCAAAAUUUAAGACCCGUGUGGUGUGUAUUUAUCAGGUAAAAUAAUAACAGCAAAAGAGAGUCUUUUUUUUUCAUUUUUUUUAAAUUUGAAUGAAAGGAUUCGAAUUUAGAACCUCUCACUUACAUUCUUUCGAAUUCAGAACCUUUUACUUACAUUUUCAUUUUUUUUCAUUUUUUUUUCAUAUGCAAGUUAAAAUAUUACUACAAAAUUAAUAGCGAGAUGUUCUUGGCACUCCUUAAAAAGUCUCUAACACUCAAUCUUCCGUUUAUGCUUUUAAAAGGAGAAUGAAGUGUUAGAAACUUUUUAAGAAGUGCUAGUAUCAUUUUAUCUCUGCCAAAAGUAACUUUGUGAUUUGAGUAAAUUUUGUGCUAAUAUCAUUUUAUCUCAAAUCAAAAGUAAUUGUUGUGAGUCUCAAAUUUUAUCUAAAUCACAAAAAUACCAAAUAAGAGCUUUUACCAAAAGUACUUUUAACACCAAAAACUUAAUUCCUAGUUUUAUAGAAUGAUAUUCAUCAAACGCUUUAAAAAUACUUUUAACAUAUAAAAAUUCUUUUUAUCAAAAGUACCGCAAUUUCAAACGAGCCCUUAGUAUUUUUCAAUCAGUCAGCGACUAGAAUGGGCCACCAAAGAACUAGUUGGCUAGAAAUCUUGAUCUUCAAUUUCUUCCAUUUCAUUAUAAGGCCAGGCUUCGAAGCCAUCCAAAAGUUGCAUGACUUCCUAAGAUGUCAACCACAUCUAGAUCAGUCUUUCUUGCAGACCAUUUGUAAAUUAUUUUACACAUGCGGUCACUUUAAUUUCAAUUUCUUUUUUUUUACACAUGUAGAAUUUAUCUAAACCUACUUAUUUAAGAAAAUAUUUUAUUGCUUAAAGGGAUGCAUUUGUAAAUUAUUUUACACUUAUACAUACGGUGCAUGUCACGUCACUUUAAAAUUUAAAUUUAAAUUUCUUUUUUACACAUGUAGAAUUUAUCUUAUACUCUAACUUAUCCCCACAUAUAUAAUGAAUAAUGCACUACAAAAGAUAGAUAUUGCAACAAAAAAAAAAACAAAUUUGUAAAUUGCAGCAACAAAGACAAAGAAAUGGUCUUGAUUACAUGGGGAGAAUGCAUGCAUUAUGUGGAAAGGGAAGAAAUUAAGAAGCCAUAAAAGCAACUUCAAGUAGUUAUCUUUGCGUCGAGAUGAUGGUUCGUUCACAUGAAGUUCUCAGAAUGGUAUUGAUUUCAACCAGUUAGUCCAGGGAAGGUAAAUAUGUAGCAAUACAAGUUUCAAUGGCCUCCUUCUUCUUCACAGAACUUUGUAUAUUCUUUUGAACCCAUUAAGGAUUCCAGUUCUGAUGGGUUGCUGGGCUUUACCUUAAUCAUCCAUCCAUCUUCAUAUGGACUUGAGUUGAUCUUCAUACAUAGCCAAAAUUCAAUACAAAAACGAAUCAUUUUCUUUCUAAAUAAGCUCAAGGGAAUGAUGCAAAUGAAUAAAUAACCUGGUGAUGGAGUAGGGAUGGAAGUGUGAGGAUUACUUACCAAACCAGGGGUCUCGCUGAGCUUGGAGUUAACCUCAACAACCUCACCAGAGAUUGGAGAAUUAACAUCGCUGGUGGCUUUUACACUUUCAACAUUUCCAAAACUUUUGCCUUGGCUAACAACAGAACCAGCAUCCGGCAGCUCCACGAAAACCACUUCUCCAAGAUGAUCCUGAAAAAAUCAUGCCCAAAUUCAACCUUCUUUCACUCUUUAUAUAUCCAAUGAAGGGAACAAUGAUUAGCCCAUCAUCUAUAAAUUUCUAGCUUUCAAGUAAGUUUCGAGUGCUAAUUCUGCAUUUUCGCUAGAGCUAUAUACCUUUUUAUCAAUCAUCAACCUGUACAAAUCAAGCGGAAACUAGAAAGUAAUGCUAAUUGAAGGUGAAAAGAUUACUGACUUUGUUUGAUGAACAAAGAGGAGCAACAGAGUAUAACUCUUUACCUGAGCAUGGUCAGUGAUACCAACUGCAGCCACCGGGCCUUCAUGCUUUACCCAUUCAUGCGAGUUUGCAUACUUAAAGCCUUCCAGAACUGCAAGAUUUAGAAAUGUGUAUCAAUUUUUAGUGUCUAAUAGGAUUCAUAGCUCCUAAACAAACAUUAAACUUACAAAUAAGACUAUCUAUAUAUAUAUAUAUAUAGAUACCAGUAGAAAAGCAUCUGGAGAGAGAGAAAGCAGGAGAGAAGUGAGGUCUGAUGGCAGUGGAGAGUUUUAGUGCAUUGGCUGUAGAAGAAGCCCACAUCCUCAUUGCCAUGUUAUCUUCUUUACGUGCUCUGUGCAGGCAGCUUGGAUUUGGUCGUGUCAAUGAAAAAGUGGAGUUGUUACUAUAUAGUUCUUGUUUUUAUUAUCUCCUAUGAAUGGUGCAAAAUGAAAGCCUCAUCCUUGGGACUAAAUUCUGAGACCAAGUGUGCUAUAUUUAAAUUCACUUGUACUAUAUAUAUUCUAUUACGGUAAAUGAUCUUUUGUUGAUUUUUCUUCUAAAUAGAUAGAUGCUUAUCCACAACUGCCCUAUAAAUGUCCUGGGAUUAAAGUCAAGGACAUUCAUUAUUUCAAUAUAUAUACAUCCAAACUUCAUCAAUGGAUUUUGAUAAUAUACACAAGGAUUAAUCUACACGUAUCACAUUUUACAAAAGAGUAGAUACAUACGAACCGAUCUGUGAUCCUCACACUUUUAUAUGAAAUGAUCCAUAUAGAUAUAGUUUGUAGCAGAAUAUCACUCUAAAAUUAAGUUCUAUGUUCUAACAUAAAUCAAACAACAAAUUAAACAUUAGGUGAUAGGCUUCAAUAACUCAAGAGCAAGUUGCUCCACAUUUAUAUCCAAAGUAAUAUUUUUUUUUUUUAAUUUGAUCUCCUUGUCACAUAUGUGAACAGUCAAAUGUUAAUAGACAAAUUGUGCUUUUAUUAACUAACAUCUUAACCUUGUAUUGGACAAUUUAACCAUUGGAAGUCUUUUAAUAGUUGUUUUGAACAGCCAAAUUAAGAGGAGAUCAAGUGUUACUAGUAAGGCCUCCCGUCUCUCGCCCCGCUGCCUACAAAUUCCCCCCGCCCCAUUCCCGUCCUGCCCCGUCCCGCCCUGCCCCGUUUUUCCCGCGGGGUUAAUAAAAAUUUAUUAUAUAAUUUUAUUAUAGUUAAAUUUUAACAAAUAAUCAAGUACUAAAAUAUCAACACAUCACCAAAUUAUUAUUCAUUGUAAUUUCACAAUUGAAACUUAUAAAAACAAUCAAACAAAAGUUAUUUGAAUACAAUUCAACAUGAUGAAAUAAAUACAACUAAAGUAGUCAAGUUUUCACUUUUGGCACAAAUACAAUCACUAAUUCAUUAUUGUGUUUAUGCUUUUUUUUUUGAGAAAAAAAUGUUAUUAUAUUAAGUGUAAUUAGGGAUUUAGUAUAAAUGUAUUAAUAAAUUUAUUAUGACCAAUUAAUAAUUUGUAUUAGCACACAUAUAUAGUUAUUAGUAUAAUUGAUAAUAUCAAUUAUAUUACAUAUACUAAUAUACAUUAUAUAAUACAUAUAACUAAUAACAUCAUUUUCAUAAGUUUGUAACUAAUUAAAUUAUAUAUUAUAUAUAAUUAUAUAUAUACAUAUUUUAUAUAUUUAUUUUUUUAAAGCGAGUGGCGGGACGGAGGUUCACUCCCCCUCCCCAUUAGCCCCCGCGGGGCGGGUGGCCAUGCCAUUGCCAUCCUUAGUUACUAGAAUAAUGUCAAAGCUAAAGUGAAUAAAACACUAAAUCUUGGGGAGUUUAAACUAAUUAACCAAUAGUUUUAGUAUUAUUGAUUGGUGGUAAUUUUGUCACCACGACAAAAAUUGAGGGUACAAAUUGCAAAUUGCCUGCUCUUGAUUUCCUGCCAUUUUCCCCCUUUGUUUCAACUUGAGCUUCAGCCAUAUUAAAGAUUUUUGUUCCCCGAAUUGGCUGUCGGAUUCCUUUCGAAGUUUGAUGAACUGAUCGGACGAUGGCUGAGAUUGAACAGGACGGUCACCGUGGAAAUGAAAUUGAAGAGAGCAGAAGCAAUUCGACUGCGGAAAUUACUCUCAAAAAAUUGGUCCUUCGCCUCCCUCUCGUUUAAUUGUUCCGUCUUCAAUCAAAGUAAUUGGGAUUUCUUUUAUCUGUUCUAUUUCGAUAGAUUUGUGGAAUUAUUUGUGCUUUCUUUUCUGUGAGCUUCUGUUUGAUGUUAUAUAUCAUUUCUUUGAAUUUUCCUUGUUCGUUAUGGUGUAAAUCGUAAACUUUGUGCUCGAUUUUUUUUGUGGAAAAGAUGAAGGCUUUAGGGGAAAUUAUGAGGGGCGUUGUGUGAAAUUUUUGCAGCUUGCUUUUGAAAUUUGGUGUUCGUGAAUAAAUUUUACGAAAUUUACCGAUGAGGCUUUGAUAUAAUGCUUCAAAAGAUCAAUACUAAGAAAGAGUGUAACAGAAAGGAAUAGGAGAAAAGAAUGAGCAAUGGUUGGGCAAUGUAGCCUGUGAACUUGUUUGAAGUGGAAUUAAACACUUUAUAGUCAAAAGCAGGAAGGUUUAACUCAUGGGGAGCUGAUUUAUCGCAUUUUGACUGAUCUUUGAAUCCAAUUUGGUGUCGCAUUUUGACUGAUCUUUGAAUCCAGUUUGGUGAAGUGUUGUGAUUGUAGUUGUACAUCUGCAAAGUACAUAGAUAUUUUUCAUGAAAUGUGAAGGCCGUCCUUUAGAGGUUGUGACGAAGUUGUGGAUGGGCACUCUUAGUUCUAAUGCGUGGAUUAGAUCAUUUAGGCGUUUCAUUGUAUUGUAAGGAAAUGGCACAGAAGAAAUACAGAAAGAAAAUUAUCAAGUUUAGGGGUCAGAUAUAGCUCUUUCUUUUCAUACUUGAUUAGCAAUAAUAUCUACUAUAUAAGCAGAACUACAAGUUCUGAACAGGUGAAAGAAAUGUGAUAGAUUUUCUUUGUCUGAUUGUUGGGUCCAAGAUAUCUGGUUUUCCAUCAAGUUCUUCCCACUACUAUUUGACUAUGAUGUAGUUUGCAGCCUUAACUACUGGACAGACAACGUAAGAUGUGAUAUGACUUUCUCUCCCUAUAAUUGGUUUAAGGAUGUCCGAUUUUUGGCUGCAUUUUUCCUCUGAGUACCUAAGAUCCAGGGCGCCCUUGGCCUUCUGAUUUUAAGGAUUGCUGUCAGACUUCAGAAUGGUGUCAAAGAAGAUAGUUCUCAGCUUGUUAUAGGAAAGUAAAUGGUGAUAGUUUUGGGCUUGAUUAACUUGCUGCUUCCCUCUCUUGCUUUGUCAUCUUGAACCCAUUGCAUUAGAUAAUUAGCGAGCUGAAGAGAGGAUCUCUUCUUUUUCCUUUUUAAAGAUAGUGCUUGAGGUCAUAAGGCAAACAUGCUUUGUGGACAUGAGAAGAGUUUUAUAAGCAAAGUGAAUGGUGAUAGAUUUGGGCUUGACUAACUUGGGGCUUCCCUCUCUUGCUUUGCCAUCUUGAGCAACCCAUUUAUAGGUAAUUAGACAGCCAAAAAUCGAAUCCUUCUCUUGCCUCUGUAAAGAUGGUGCUUCAGGGCAUAAGACCAAAAAGCAUAAUUAGUGCGUAUGUAAAGAGCUUUAUAGAUGCCUCAAGUUAUUAUUAAGAUAUUAUCACCUUCUGCAGUGGCAAAAGUAUGAUAUUAGCAUUUCAUGGUCUUUUUUUUUUUAGUAUUUCAUGAGUUUAGGUCCAUAAUACUUUGAAAAAAUGACGAGUUAAAACAUGUAUCAUUAAGGAAUUUCAGCUUUUGCAGGUAUUGUUAUCCUUGGCAGUGAUGCAUACAUUUUGUACUUGUGUUGUAAUUCUUCUAUGAGUGUGUCAUAUUUCUCUCUGGUAAUGAAAUUUAAUUGUGUUCUGAAGUUUAGGAAUUUGUUCCAUUGCCCACUUUUAUACCUUUGCCUGGAAUUUGAGUCGUUAGCUGGUUCCAAAUGUUAUGCUUGGUGUCUUUCUGUAACUAAAUUUGUGAGAGGAGUUUUUUUUUUCGCUUCCAUCUUUUGUAUUUAAUAUGUCUUAACGUACUAAAGGAAUGCACUUUCUGUUAUUUCUUUUCCUUUUAAUUAUUUAGAGCAAUUUUGGUUUCAAGUAUCUAACUCUUGAGAACUAAAGGAGGGUAUUUUAACAUGUUAUGCUUGUGUUCUCUAUGCUGCAACAUAGGUGCAUGACUUGAGAAAAUUGAUUGCUCAAAAUGGAGAUUUGCCUAGCGAAAAUCUGACGCUUAUUUGGCGAGGAAAUGUGUUGCAUGACAACAAAAUGGCAAUGAUGUAAUAAUUCAACUAAAGAACGGAGGUCCACUUCUCAAUUCAGCUUCUCUGUUGUUUUAGCCAAAUAGUACCUUUCUGCAUCUUUUUCUUUUGCUGAAAUCCGUUAAGCAUAAACUUUUCACACUAGGGAUUUUGUGUAGGGCGUAUAUUUAGAUACCUUGAAUUAUUGAUAUAACGGAGACAUUGUAAGUUCUGACAAAUGCAUCGUGAAGGAGUGGCAUCUUAAAACUUGGCUAUUUAUUGUUGAUAUGUUGAUACGAACAUGUUACAUAAUACUGCAAUGCUAUCUGCUGAUCCGCUGGUCAAGCCUAUAGACGAAGUGUAUGAUGGAAUCCAUGGUCAGCUGGUGCUUAAGGAACUUAGGUGAUUUUGUACAGUCAUUUAACAGCCUUUCUUUUUUUAUUUGUCUCUUUCCAAUAAAUCAAUUAUUAGAUCAUAAAUUCACCUGAAAUGGCAGGAAAUUUUCUUCACAAUUGUGCAGAUACGCAAUUAACAUGGUGGCGUGAAUAGCUCUUAUUUCAUUUCUGUUUGUUUUAUUUGGGAUGUUUGUCAUUUCUGAAUCCUUUGUUACACUGCUAUGAACCUCAGAGAAAACAUUUUUUUGUGCAAUUGUACGGUUUUGGAGAUUUUGAAUACAGCUUCGAGUAGAUGAGUAGGCUUGUAGGUAAUGUUUAUAUUAGUUUGAUCUUUGGAACAUGAGGAUCCUUUUAAACUGUUGGAAUUUCAGGAAUAAAGGGUUAAACCAGUUUGCUACCCUCAAAUUAGGAUUUGCCCAUCUAAAAAAAUUUGUUUAAAGUUUGCUUACCCCAAAUAGAACUCAACUUUGGUGGAUGUAAAUAUUCCUAGUAGCACAAUUUUGAUUUGUGCUAGUGGAGCUCUCUUAAAAGUAAAGGAAAAAGCUCAAUGUCUAGCAUGCAAAAACCAACAAAGAAAAAUAGUAAAGGAUAAAAGUUCUUAAUGUUAAAUCUGUUUGUCUACUUUGGAAAAGGAUCUUUUUCCAAUUUGGAAAAUGAUAAAAUAUAAAGAAAUGCUACAUUUUCUAAUCUUUUAUCCUACCAUGAAUAAUAUUAUAAAUCAGUUUGUCUAAAGUAAUCAAAGAGUUGUAACAUCUAGAGUCCAUGUGUUUCAUUUGGGGAAAAUGGAUGUUAUUCUGGAUACUCCUAACAAAGAUGUGGACAAUAGAAGUUAGGCCAUGAAGAAUGAUGUUCGUUUCAAAUAUUCAAUUUCUCUUUUGUCAUGUUUUUUUCUAGCGUGAUAACUUUGGUUUCGUAGUUGAGGUUGUCUGGAUUUUCUUUUCGGACACGUCUCACUCUGCUUAUUACAAGUGGCAUUCUUCACUUUUCAGAUUCCUUAAUAGUUGCUACUAAACCAAAACCACCUCCAAAGCAUGCAGAUGAUGGUUUGGAUGAUGACGAUGAUCAUGAACUGGUUGGUAUAAAUCUUUUACUAAUAUAUACAGGCAUAUUUUUUCCUUCUAUUUUUCAAUUUGUCUUGCUUUUUUCUUUAUUUGUCUGUGGGGUGUUUGCACUGUUGUUCUCAGUUUCAUUGUGCUCUGUUUCAUCUCAUUUCUUCUUAUUUCUACAUUUUAGAGGUUUCAACUUCCACAAUCAGUCACUGGGUGGAAAAGGAGACUUUUCAUUGCAUUACGUGAGAAGUUGAAGUUACCCGGUGAGCAUUUGAUUUUACAGUCUUUUUUUUAUAGGGAGUAAGAUGGCAAAGUCCUGAUCAUCUGUUCUGAUUCUGCUUUAACCUAUGUAGAUAUCCUUUUGAUGGCAAUGGUCUCGCUUAGUGUAAAGAUGUGGAUUCUAAUUGUUUUAUGGUUUAUUCUGGCACCUGUUGCCCAAAAAUUGGAUCUUGGCCCUUUAUAUGUAAGUGUUGUUCUCUGCUUCUCUCUUCAUUUGUUUUAGAUUUCUGGUUUCUUUUAUAUCCUAUAAGAUCGAAGUUUACUGUGACUGUGAUAACCUGUAUGAAGAACUAGUCAUGUGCAUGGCAUUCCUGUUUCAUGAAAAUGAUGAAUUUGUCGGCAUCUGAAGGUCAAAAGAUUAAAGUUAUAGUCAAGAUAGCCAUAAUUAUCCUGGCAACAAGACUAGUUAGAUUUUGGUUUGGUUAAAAUACCUAAUGGGUAGUAGAUAAACCAAAUCUGCAUAGAGGGCUCUUUUGGUACUUUCUUUUCUGAAACUUACUCCUGUGGAAGCACAUUGUUGGUAAGUUUUCACAAAUGUCUCGUCAUGUGAACCAAAUUGGAUAAAGCACUUGCUCCAUGUAAUCUUUUUUGAAAAGAGUUUAUAAUCAUAUUUUACCUUACCUAUUGUUGUUAUAUUUUAGGUACUUGCAACAGGGUUUGCUAUUAUCUUCUACAAUCUUGGACAGCGACAACCUGGUGAUGUCAGGUAUGUGCUUGAAACAUUGACUAUUAUUAGUUGUUCUGAUAUUUUCCUGGUGCAUAAAAUUUUUGUAUGUAUCUUACUUAAAAUGAGGUAAAUAUUCUACUUGGAACAGCAAAGUGAAACAAAGCUUGCGCAAUGUGUCAACUGCAAUCUCAACUUUGUUGGAAUGUAAACUUUGAGUAUCAUUGCAUUAGCUAUUUUCGGAUCCGUUAGAAGCUCCUAUGUUUCUGUAGACAGAUUGGAUAUUUUGAAUAAUGACGUGGGAAAUCAAGUAAAAUAAGGAAUUAAGAAAAUCCAUAUCAAGGAAAAGCAACUGUAGGUAGAUUGAGCAAUAGCUUAAGAAAAUUGGAUUAAUCCUCAGAGUUGUAUCAAAGAAGUUUCUACUUUUAUGCAGGGUGUGUGUUCUAUUAUUUCAAAUGUUGUUCAUCCUUGAUGGUAGCAGACAUUAUUCUCUCGCGACAUAGAUGUCCCCGCCCACCCCACAACCCAAAAAAAAAAUCUAUUUUAAAACCUGAAGCAAAUAAAAACAUUCAUGAGGUUGCAAUUCAUGCAUAUGCCUUAAAUUUUCUCAUCUAUGCCCUGAUUUGCAAUUUCUGCUGUGGCUAUUACCUUUUUUCUUUAAAUUUUUAUUUGGUGGAAGUGGGUGUACUAAGGCCACCCAACAUUUGAUUUUCUGUUGAUCCUCUAUGUUCAGCAAUUAGAUAGGUUUCAAACCAAUCAAUCAUCAAUCAACAGCUCAAAUGUAUCAACUUUGGGAAUUGGCCCUUGGCAAAGUUAUUGUGUCCUUUCCUUUGCUUCCCUUUCUCUUCAUGUAUGCUGAGAGAUUCUAUAUCUUCUCGCAUCUUUGUGUGUUCAAGUAGUCUUUUGCUUUUAUGAUUUCCCUUUAUCAUCAAAUCAUACAGGUUUGGAGUUGUACAGGGUUUUUAGUCUCUAAUAUCCUUCACUUCUGCAGUGCAUAUUCUAUCUUCAAUGAAGAUUUCAGGGAACUUCCGGGGACCCUUAAUGCUGAGCGCCUAGACAGAGACAUUCGAGCUGGUCAAUUUUGAGUGAGAUGUAGUCGGCAGUGUCAAAUUUUGUGCCAUCAAGAUACGUGUGCGAUAACUGUACAGGAAACAUGCUAAUCCUUAGCUUAUCUCUAAUUGAAAAACUGCAAAUCAAUUUUUUGUGCUGACUAAGAUAAAGCUACUUUGGUGGUGAAAUUUGCUCUUAAACCCAGGUGGCUUGUCUCUCCACUAGUUUCUUGACCCCCAAAGAGCUAAACUUUGUUUGCAUCUGUUUAGCCUUUUGAUUAGCAUUUUUUCUACCACAAUGCACUUCUUUUUUUUUUUUUCCUUUAAGAAGAUCGACUUGCUAAACCAAAUAUCUUAAGAUUUUGGGUCAUGGAAUGAGUAGGGUAAAGCGUGCCCUUUUUUUUUUUUUUUGCUUCCUUUUUCCUGUUUCUCCGGUUUGACAUGUAAAUGCUCACAAUCAUUAGCUUACUGAUUUAAUUGCAUAAGCUUUUAGACAACAAUUUUUGUCAUGGUACAUCUUGAACUUUUUUGUCUCAACUCUCAAUAUAUAGCACACUCCAAAUAAAGAUGUAGAGCUGGAAAAUUAAAGCUAUGUUUGGAUUGCAAUUUUCCAAAGAAAAUUUGCUACUUUUUUCGCCGACAUAUUUUUUAAUCGUUUUUUACUUCAUAUAUAUCAAAUCGUUACAAUAAUUUUUUUAUAAAAAAGUCCAGAAAAAUGCAAUCCACUGCAAUUAAACAACAUUAGAGACACAUUUUAUAAUGAAAAUGUGUAAUAUGAGAUGAUUCAUCAUUCAAGAUUCUUUUCAAAUUUCAAUUGCUUGCCUCUGAAUUUGUUAAUGUAUACACAUCGUUGGUAUAUGCAAAAUUAACUCUGACGCAGAUAAUCUUAUUUGGUACUAUUCAUUUUCAUAGAACGUUGAAAAAUUCUCUGUCAUCCAUACUGUUUAGUUUCAUAAAAUAUUGUAAAAUUUGUUAUCACCCUUAUGUUAAGAAUUUCUAUGUGUUCUCAAUUUCACUCUUGGGUCAGGAAGCCUGGCUGUGACUCUUGCUCAAUGGGCUUUUGGACAUAAUAGGAAUAGAUACUGCUUUACUUUCUAACGCUGUUCUCUCAUGUCUUGGUAAUGCUUAUACUCUGGACUUCUUCUUCUUCAAAGCUCAACAAUUGGUACUAAAAUGCUAGGAGCCCAUGGCCAUCCAAUCAUUAUUUUUGCCCAAGAUGAUUCAUACAGAAGAAGGACAUCAUAUACUUUUCUCAUGCAUGAAAUUUUAUUUUCCUGAGGCACCGCAAUCUUUCCUACUGUGUGUGUCCUUAACCUAGUUUUAAAUCCUUCUUAAAGACCAUAAAGUCAAAUAUAAAAUCAUGUCACAUGACUUCCUUCCCUGUCAUUUUUUUGUGGAUUUGUUCAACGGAUAUUCAUCAAUCAAUGGUCCAAGCAUUACCUAAGACUGCUAGAACCCACUCAUUAGAAAAAAAUCUACAAAAGAAACAAAGACACGGUUUACCUAGUGUCAGUACGAGCAAAUUAUUUCGAUGGCCACCAAACUUUUGGAAUCGUCGUGUUUUGAUUAUUGAACUAUUAAAUGUUUGAUUUUGAUCAUUGAAUCAUCUAAAAUUUAGAUUUCAGACCAUUUUGUUAGAUUCAUCAUUAAAUAUGACAGAUCUGAAUAUUCACACGAUUCACGAGACAAAAUAAAAGGGCAUAGUUAGCGAUAAAAUCUGACGAAAUGACCCGUAAUCAAAAUUUUAGAUAAUUCAGUAACUAAAACCCACCGAUUCCAAAAGUUCAGUGGCCACCCAAAUAAGUUGUUUUGUUAGUAAACAUGUAAAGACCAUUGAUUUGUGCUUUUUUCCUUUUUUUUUUUAGUUGAAUUACAGUUAGCUAGCGAGUCUUCUUGUCAUUUUGUACACUAGAACCAGACUUUCUUUGGAUUGUGAUUUGUUGGAGAAAAAUUUUUUCGUUUUUCAUGAAUAUCCUUUCUAUGUAAUUUUUAAUCAUCUCUUCAUCUCGCGUAUAUUAUAUCUUUAAAAAGUGUUGCAGUAAUUUUUUUUCCCCGAAAACGCUCCAAAAAAAAAUGCAAUCUAAACGGGCUCUGAGUGAACAGAGAUAUAUUUCUGAAUAAAGGAAUCAAAACAAAAGCUUUUCUCUGGGCCAUUCUGCUGAUCCAAAAAAGAAAGAAAAGAGAAAGUCUUCGCUGGACACGCCAUUUUAGUACUGUGAUGAACACUGAUAGCUCAUGGCAGAGGGCCGUGACAAGAAAAUCGUCCUCAGGUACUUUUCCAUGGAUACAAGCAAAGGAAAAGGAUAGAUCAAAUCAUCCCUUGACCAUCUGCUUUUACAAGUUUCGUAAACUACCCAAGACCCUCACAUUCUUCCAGGCAAAAAAAGGGUCAAAAGAGUUCAUUACACAUUUGCAUAUACAAAUAAUGACCUGCUUUAACAAUUAACAACAUAAUUUCAAGCUAUAGCUUUGUUUGUUAAUUACUCACUAUUUUUCGAAAACAUAUUUUAAAAAAAAAAAUUCAAACAUGUUUCUUAACCCCUUUUUUUAUUCACAAACAGGUCUAUCAAUUAAUAAAGGCACUACAGUAAAAGGUAUCUAUAAACGCCUUACAAAACAAACAUCCAAACAGUUGCGCAUUUGGAAGCUCUCUAAGGAUAAUGGAACUAUAUUGUCAGCAGAAUAAGUAAAUCAACAUAGGAUACAAGUUAGGUGCGAUUUUCACAAUUGUAGACAACUAACUAAUAUUUGUGUCUUAUUAUCUUCUUGAAGGCGUGUAGUAGUUAAUUGGCUAAGAUGCAAAACCAUUUUUUAAACUAGGUUCUUAUCCUCUAGAAACUAGUUAGGUUCUUGAAGGCAUUUGUCUUUUGUUAAUUGAAAAAUUCACAAGGGUUUCAUUCAUAUUGGACAUUGACAACUUUUAGCUCCAAAAACCUUAGGUGAAGCUUGUCCUUGCAUGUAUACAUACACAAAGAAAGAAGAAAAAAGAAACCCUUAAUCGAUCACAAACUUUUGAGCUUUUAUUUGUUUAUUAGCACAUGAUCAGUAGUAUAUAAACAAAAUAUCACUUAAAUCUUGCUAAGGCAGAUUAAUAUUGUAUUAAGGGCUGCUACUCAUAGGAAAAAAUGGGACUAAUUAGAUGAGGCUUGUGAAUGACAAAGACAAUUAAGAAACUAAUUACCACUUACUUUGCGUGUUUCAACUUUCAAUUAGUUGAGGUAUAUCUAGUUGUUGAUUUAAAAAAAAGGGUUCUCAAUUGUCGUAAACGUUAGACACACUCUAGAAGCAAUAUGAAUUUAAAACUUAGUGUAUAGUGAAUGCUAAGGAAAGACUUUUGCAUAAAAUACACUUUCUUUUGGAGACUUGGAGGGCGACAUGUUAUAGGUUCUCGAAUUGUUCCAACAAGAAAUUCAAUGUUCUUUAUUUCAAAGUGAUUGAGACGUGGCUUCAAAAAAGAAAAAAAAAAUUUUGGAAGAAACUAGAAGUUCUCAAUUAUUAGACAUGAAAAGUUGGCAUCAAUGGCCUUGAUAUGAGCCGCCAUGGAUGCUAGCAGCCUAGCACCUUCUUUUCCUCUUCUUCCCUUCUUUUUUUUUUUUUUGGCGAUUUUGAAUCAAAAAUGGAGGGAGACUCCUCUCUCAAAGAUUUCUCUUUUUGUAAAACUAACCGGUAAGUGCAUAUGGUUGCGCUAAUUCCCUUUCAAAUUUCGUCUUUGGUAUUUUCAGUAUUUUACCACUUUUUUGCUUUUCAAGGGAGGGUGGGAUUGAGAAAGAAUCAGAUGCUUUACUCUAGACGUAUUUUUCAGGGCAAGAAAAGUCUUUAUGAUAGAUUUUCAAAAAUCUUCUAUGCCAUCAAAGAAUUCAAGAAGUCAAAAUUCCUUCUGGGCAAGGCAAUGAGUUUGAUUGACAAUCAAGAAGUAGCUUCCUAAUAUCUUGAAUUUUCCAUCGUAGCUGCAUAUUCUUCUUUCUUGUGCUCAGUUUGAAAAAAAAGGCCAAGUUAGAGAAACUCAACAGUGUUUCAAAUUUUAAAGAAACAAGAAGGAGUACUAAUGAAAAUGGAUGAGGGAUUAGGUAGUUGACCUUACACUUAAUGAUGAUUCUAAAUGACUCCACAAAAUCUUUACUAGGUAAUCCAUCCCAUCCCACAAUUUCAUCAACAUUCAACUACUUUCUUAUGCUUAACUAAUGCCAGAGAAUUCCUGUGUGUCUUCCAAAGAAUAAGAUAUUCGAACUAAUCAUGGAAGGAUGUCAACACAAAAAGAAAAUGACUCGAGAAAACUCCUAAGCAACCACUAAGCCGUACAUCCAACAAGCACAGAUAUAAGAGGUAUAAAGCUACUACUAUGGAGAAAAAAAUUAAAAAGGGUAAAAAUUAUCAAAUGCAGGAAGGAAUCAUGACACAAAAAAGUAAUUAGCAGGAUAAACAGACUGAUUGACUGAUUGAUCACUUUUUCAAUCACCUUUUAUCUCACGUAAAACCGUGCUAUUAUAAAGUGUUACAGCGAACGAAUAAAAAAUACAAUCAAACAGUCCAAACGCCCGUAUGGAAAAGCCGAAUUGGUCAAUGCCAAGUCAAUCAGAUGUGGAUGCAUUAAAGUAAAACAAAACAACAUCAAAUGAAGAAGAUAAUUUUUGCGUUUGAAAGGAACUAAAAGAAAAGCAGAAAGGUAGGGCUGUGAAGACAUGGAUAAUCAGCAUCAGUGGUAGUUGCAUUGCCGGUCCUCGACGGCACGUAACAAAAUAUACGUUGUAGUAAUAGUCAACACGUAUAUAUCAAGAAUUCUUCUAAUUUUCUCAUGGAAAAUGCACUGGACCCCAAGCUCACCUACUCAACCCUCGUCCCUCAACAACAUCCACUCCACUCUGAGUAGUCUUCAUGAACUACUCCUCCAGGAGCAUUAUAACUUUUUCGUAGUUAUUAAGAUUUGUUGGGAGUUUUGAUUGUUUUGAAUUCGCCCAACUAAUUCGAAGUAGAUGUAUCAUACCUCAAAAACUGCACACACACACAUAUGUCUAUAUAUAUAUAUAUAUAUAUAUAUAUAUACACUCUAAUUAAAUAAAUUUAGGCAAACCCAUAUCUGAUCAACUAGAUUAAAAUCCAAAAUCAUUAGAUAUCAUCCCUAAAUAUAAUUGCGUACACUUUUUUGGAAAAAAAAAUACCCUCUCAUGAGAAAAGAAAGAAAAAAAAGGAAUGGAACCUACUUUUUAUCAGGUGCCCUUAAAGAAAACCCAAAAAAAAAAAGGAUCUUAUGAAACAUAUAUAGAUGCAUGCCUUUUUAAUUAGAAAAUGAUAUUAACACUUCUUAAAAAGCCUCUAUCCAGUGGCGGAGUUAGGAAUUGCAAUUAGGGGGGGCGAGUCUCUGUUAUUUGGACCAAGUUCAAAUAAUUUUCAAACAUUAUUGUUUGGGUUCUUGAGAGGGGGGCAAAGUGAAAUUUUUAUCAAUAUUUGGGGGGGCAAAACAAUAUAAUAAAAAAUUUUUUACUUAGAAAUUUUUUUUAUAACAAUUAGAGGGAGGGCAAAGUGAAAAUUUUUAUCAAUAUUUCGGGGGGGAACAGUAUAUCUUCCUUUUAAAAGCAUACAGGAAAGAUGAAGUGUUAGAAACUUUUUAAGGAGUGCCAACAACAUCUAGCUAUUAAUUUUGUAGUAAUAUGUUAAAUUGCAUAUUAAAAAAAAGAGGAAAAGAUGUUUUGUUUAAAUACCACAACUUACUGAGAUCACACAGUCUGAUCUUUUUUUCUUUGUUAUAAUGCUACGAACCCUUAUCUUCUAUGUAAUCACUCAUCUACCCACUAGGCUAAUUGAGUAAUUAGCUGAAUACUCAUGCUCUUAAUCUAUUAUUAACGUAGUUAUCUUUGGGACAAAAUCUUCCAUAAUUCAAAUCCAAAAAGAUAAGAUUGCGAGAAAAUGAUGGUUAUUUGAACAAUAAGAUCAGAUAAGAUGAAAACCUGCAUGAUUAAAAAAUCAAGAAAUGAUUUUAAAAAAAUUACCUUUUUUGAACAUAGGCAGUACUAUGUGGUGCUCUUGAACAUUUUCUGCCUUGCAACUUUACCUUUUUCCUGUGGAUAGAUAAAACUUUUACUUCAUAAUUUGAAUCAAAAAGCCAAAAUAAAGUUAAAGAGUUGAAAGGCAGAUAAAAGAAAAAUGUACUUGUACGUUGUUUAUCUAAUAUUGUCAAUAAAAUGCAAAUGUUAUUCCCAUUCAAAAUUUAUUGAACGGUCAGCUUAAACAGUAAAAUUUCUGUAUUAAGUACUAUAAAAGGAGAAUUUAAAAUAGUAAAAUUUCUGUAUUAAGUACUAUAAAAGGAGAAAUUAAAAUUAAAGAAAGUCCAAGGAAUCCAUUAUUCUUGCUCAUUAUUGUUUAAAAAGACAUACGCAUCUACAGACUAUAGCCAAGAUUCUCUAACGAUUUAAAUGCCAACUUUAUUAUAUUUAUUAAUAAACAUAUUUGCAUUAUUAUAUUUAUGGAGACCUUUACACUUUUGAUUAUCAAGUCAUAAUUUUUUAAAAAUAUAAAAACUUCAAUAUAAUUUAAAGUUGUAAAUUUUUGUUCUAAAGAACAAUAGACAAGUUCAGAAGAGAUAGACAACUUUAAACCACAAAAGCUAGUACUUUAUUUAAGGACUACUAGAUGAUUCAUACUUACGCUGCACUUAUAAAUUCAUUAGUCUUAGGAAUUUGCUUCGUUUUUUGUAGUACAAAAUUUAAGAAUAAUAUAAGAGUGGGAAAAGCUUAGCGAAUUGAAUAAACAAAAAAAAAAGUGGCAGUGAAUGUAAAGACAGGUAAUUUUGUUUCUUAGAGUCUAUAUAUAUGAAAAUAGUUAUUUUAAUCAGAGUUGUUUCUCACUCCUACGUGGCAUGCCUAAUUGAAAAGAAUUAACAGGUUAUGGAUCACCAAGAUUUUACCCAUAUUAAAUCCUAAUUGGAUUACAUUAUCUAUUUAAAAAUUAUCUCUAAUUUUAAAAUAAUUUUAAAAUAUAACUAACCUUAUCUUAAUGAUAUUAUUUUAAAAAGAAACUAAUCUUAUCUUAUCAUAAUGAUUAUGCUUUCUAUCAAAUUAUUACAUAUAGAACUAUAGUAAAACCUUUUCUCAAAACACAAUUUAAAAUCUUGCGUAUCCCAAAUUACUUCCUUUCACCACCAUACAUUUAAUUAGUAUUUAAAUUGUCCAUCAUUUCUUUCCUUAAUUUUGAAUUAACUUAGUAUAAGAAAGAGAAUUAAUUGUUACACCAAUAUGUUUACCAAUAUUUUUUGAAACUAAAUAUUUAUUGAUGAAGAAAAAUGAAUUGCUAGAUUUUUUCUACUUAAUUAAAUAAGAAUAUAUAGUUCUAUGUUUGUGGUCAUUAUAAAAUUUAAAUUAUCUAAAAGAAUAUUUGUAAAAAAAAAAAUAUCUACCAAGUUUUUGAUAUGGGUACAUGAUAUGAGGUAUACUAUCAUAUUAUAGUGAAAGUAUGUAAACAAAUUUUUAAAAAUUAGUAAAUGAUUGAAUAUUUAGAAUACAUUAAUUUUUUAAAGUUAAUAUAGAUGAACAUGUAGGAGUGUUUUUAAAUUAUUUAUAUUUGUGUAAAUUCGCAAUAAAUAAAAAAAGACUAGGUUAAGGCAUGGGCAAAAUUCUAGUAUGUUAUGGGUUUUUGUAUCAUUGCAUUAAGCAAAAGGGAAUGCCGAAGUGCUUAGAACUUCAUUUAGAGGGAUAGUACUAUUGAAUUUAGAGAAAUUAAAGUAAAAUAUGAUUAUAGCAGCUAUAGUUGUUCUAUUUCUCUUUGUUGAUAAUAAGCAUUAUAUGAGGGAAGGGAUGUAUUGGAUGGCAUGGGAGGAGGAAAUGUAGUUCAGAGAUCUUGAGAGUUCGAAACUCUCUGCUUACACAAAGAAAAAAAAGAAAAAUAAAAAGCAUAACAUGACCUAUUUUUUCCUAGGUAAGUCCACGUUAAAGCAAGAGUGGCAAUUGAUCUUCCCCAAACUUUGAGAAUUUUAUUUUAAAUUGGCUUAAACCAUUUUAGGUUUUGAGUCUUUUUCUAUAACAGCAGCCCCUAAAAUUUUAAAUUAUUUUGACAUUGACCCCUCCCUCCCCAAAUUCUUGAAGUUUAAAAUCAUCAUCACCUACUUCAAAAAUGACAGCACAUUUAAAAUGACAGCCAAGUACUACUUCAAAGCAAAAGAGAGUUUGAAAACUUUUACUACAUAAAAGAUGAACCUAAAAGCUUCGGUCAAUUCAUUUUUCAAUUAAAAUAGUAGUCUAGUGUACAAAAAAUAAUUUUCAUGUGGGUGUUUUAAGACUUUUAUCCUUCCAACACUCUUUACAAUUGGUUAUCCAUAAUCACAUAUAAAAAAAUUUUACUUUUGGUUGUACUUGUAAUGUGUUGUAUUGUACACCAAAAUAUUUGACCCCUCUUAAUCUUGGGUCCUAGCUUUGCGAGUAAUUGACUAAGUAUUACCUUAAUCGUUGAAAAGUAAAACCAUUUCCAGAAUAAAGGGGAACCCGCGGAUUAAAAAACGAGUGAGAGAGGAAAAAUCCACCAUCCAUUGCUUGGAUUAUGGGAGGAAAAGUAAACGCUUACUUCGCUAGCAAUCUUUCUGUGUUAGGUUUUAAAUGAUGACCAUUAACACUAAGUCAAUACUCAAUUAGCCAAUUAGGUGUGCUUUUAGAGCUGCUCAGGUACACAAACUCUAUAAUUAUCGGAGAGGACAAUAAAUUAUUUGCUUUUGCAGAUAUUGACAAUAGAAAUGCAGCAAUCACACUUUCUUUCUUUCUUUCUUUCUUCAUUUUUAUGGGGGUUUUUUCUUUAUUAUUGUUAAGGUGGCAAAGGCACUUCUUACCAAGAAGGGUUUCUUUAUCAACAAGGAAAAUAAACCAAAAAAGAGACAGAGAGAGAGACAGAUUUAUCAAGUAUAUUGAGUCAAUAGAAACAAUAGAAAGAAGCUUAAAGAGUCUGUUUGGAUUGAAGAUUAUUUCACUUUAUUUACACCUUAUUUACACACACUGAUUUGUUUGCAUUAUCAACAUAUUUUCCAAUCACCUUUUUAUCUUACAUACAUCAUAUCAAAAAAAGUGCUACAGUACUUUUUCACAAACUCUUUAUUUCUUUAGCGAUGUUAUUCUCAAAAACACGCUUUUGAAAACUUUGAAUAAAUCUUUCAGUCACUUUUUUUUUAAUUUCAUUUUCAUAUAUGUGUGUUUGUGUUUGUGCAUAAAGAUAUUAUGACAAGAAUGGAGAUUUUUUGGCUAAAGAUGAUACGAAUUCACUUAGGGGAGUAAAUGAAUUUAAUCAAACCAAACAUUUUAAUGUUAAAUCUUGUUUAAUUAUUUUAAUGAACUUGAAAUUUAUAUAAAUCUUAUAUACAUUGACAAUGUAUAUAUUAUUAUAAUUGAAUGUAUAACACAUGAACAAAAUUAAAUUUAUAUUCAGAUGCUUUGUUAUGCAUCGAAUAGUGAUGAUGUAUACGCUAUCAAUGUAUAAGGAUUAAUCGUUAAAAUUUUAUUCAAAUUUGAUUUAUUUAUUAUCGAACCAAAUUUGAACGAACUUUUUAUCAAGUUUGAAAGAUAACGAUUAUAAAAUUAUAUCCAGUUUUGAUUUAACUAGUUAGCAAAUCAAGUUCAACUAAAUUUUUACUAAAUCAAAUUCGAUUUGAAUAUCAAGUAGUUUAAUUCGUAAAUCAACCCUAAAUCCAUUAAUCAAAUGUACUACCGACUGUACCGCCAAGGAAUGGUUGGAAAGGUUAAUAAAAGAGAUGUGAAGCCCGACAAAGAUGAGAUCAUUUCAAACUUCAAAGAAGACGUCCCAUUUUCACACAGAUAAAUAGUAUACUAAUAUAAUUGGAUUGAUGGUCCCAGGGAUCUCAUCUGCUCGUUGACCAACUCAUUGAAUUAUGGGCCCGUUUUCCAACUACAUCAGAACUUGUGAUAUUCUAAACCUAAUCAACUCGCUCCCACCAUUACUAGUACAUUAUUACCGAGUACAGCAUAUUAUUCUAAUCUCGCCACCUUGAUUUCUCAAAAGAGCCAAACUAAGUUGAUUUUUUUGGUAAUCUCACAUGGGCACACUUUUCUUUUUAUUUACUCUGAGAAAUCUAGGUACAUCAUUAACUCAUGAGUUCUCAUAAUUUGAGUUUGAAACACGUUUAAUUGAUUCAAUGUGAUCAUGCAAUUAUAGGUGAAAUCGAACCGAACUCCAUUAGAUUCUUUAACCGAAAAUAAUGAACUUUUAUCGACACCUGCUCAAACUUUUUGUUUGGUAGCACUAAUAUUUUGUUUUGAGCACUAAUAUUUUAUUUAGUUAAACUACGUUAAUUUUCUUUGUAUUUGUUUAAGAGGAUCGACUACUUUAGCUACAUACCUUAAUAAUUUGUGGUCGUGGAAUUUGUGUAAAAUUGACGAUUAGUCAAUGAAAAUUGAAUGAGCUAAAGUAUACUCUUUUUUUUUUUUUGUCGAUACUUGGUGUCCAGGUCAAUCCUUACGCGGCUCGACUAAUUCCCUGUGGCUAGGACCCGACGCCCAACCCGACCCAAGCACGAUAAGUGCGCGGAGGAAUUCAGCAGAGCUAAGAUAUACUCAAUUUUCUUGUAGAUUCCUCGAUUUUCUACUAUUUUAUAUACUUAGAGUCGUUCUGCUCAAUGAUCUAAGUACAUAAGCUCUUAGAUAACAAACAUGUCUUUCAAUAGUUUUUUUUUUAUUUUUUAACCACUUGUUUCAUCUCACAUACAUUAUAUUCAAAAAAAGUGCUAUAUUAUUUUUCAAAAUAUUAUUUCAAAUAAUCUUCUAUCCAAACACAUAGAUUUGUCGUGGUAUACUUUGAUAAUUUUUUGUGUCAGUAUAGAUCACACUCUAGAUAAAAGAUGUAGAAGAAUUGGAAAAUUUAAAUUAUACAAUUAAGUAACGUCAAGCAUGCAUACUUUAUAACAAAUUAAAGUGCAAAAAUCCAUAAGCUUAUAUGAAUCUCCCAAAUGUUAAAUUCCUCGACUUGAUCAAUUCUCCAAUAUAUAAGGCAUGACCACAUUAUGUGUUAACAACACAUAGUUGUAAAUUUUGUACACGUUCUGCUGUAUCAUUAUUAAAAUGGGUAAAGUGGUUUGAAGUUAUUGACAAAUAAAAAAUAAAAAAUCUCAAUAUUUACGAUUAUUUAUUCAACAAAUAUAAACUAAUUCUCCAAUUUUUCAUUGUAAACCUUUUAUCAUCGUUAGUACCAUUUUAUCCAUUCGAAAAACACAAUUAUCAAAACUCGGAGGCUAAUCCCCCGAUGGUAAUUUCGCAAUUAAAUAUUUUUACGAUUUAGUGCCUAUUUUAUAUGAAUUGUCGAACAUGUAAAAUACAAAAUAAAAUUGGUCUAAUUAUUCAAUAUGAAUCCUUAGAAUAUGCUCUAUCACUUUCACGAGUAUAAUAGAUAUAUAAAAUUUAUGCAUGUAUGUAUGCAUAUGAAAGUUCAGAAUUGGCAUUUUGAAAGGAACAUAAAGAAAACUGGUCUCCAGAAAAUUUGACUCUCAAAAGUCUCGUGCCCUUAGAUUCUUAUACAACGUCUAAAGCUAAAAGGCUGGCAAACAUCUCCUCCAAUAUGCCAAUCAAUAAGCCAAGAAUAGUAAGGUAAAUUCCAAUUGAGGGCUACAGGAGCUUUCAGUUUUCAAUUUUUUGUCAUUCACCGUUCACACGUACCGCGUGACACCAAACAUGCCCUUGUCCUUUACCCUCCAAGAUUUCGCGCUGCCAACAAACUCUUUGACUUCUCAGAAAGCCUUUGAUGAAAGCUUCAUCACUUCCCGCCUUCACAUGUAAAAUUCCCUUGCCCCUCAAUACCCUUACCCCACCACCUACCAUAUGCUUUUGCUGCCUCCUUUUUUUUUUUCGCCCUCUUGAAUUUUUAACCUAAACAAUUUAGGUCUCAUUUGAUCUUUCCUCCAAAAUAUGUCUACUAGCAGAGUUAGAUUCUGAAUACCACCCUUAAUAAUAACUAGUCACUUUUGAAGAUUUUAUCUAGAUUAUUUCGUUUUUUUCUUAUCUUUUCUUUGGUAAGGAAAAAAAUAGAAAUAGUCAUUUGAUCUUUCCUCCAAAAAAAUUUCUGGAUUUUUUUGUAGAAAAAUUACUGUAGCGAUUUGAUAUAUAUGAGAUAGAAAGGUGAUUGAAAAAUGUGUUUAGAGAAAACGUAAUCAUUUUUCUUUGAAAAAUUGCUUUCCAAACAAAGUUUAGUUUUAGGGGAAAAAAAAAACUUAGAGGAAAAAAAGACUCGAAAAUCGUACUAGGGAAUUCAUAUUUUACUUAGUUAAUAUAUCUACCAGCUGAUUUAGAUUAUGAAUACCCUCAAUAAAUUAUUCACUUUUCGUUACUUCAUCCCGAUUAUUCAGUCUUUUAUCUUUUCUUCGGUAAGAAAAAGACAGAAACAAUCACUACGUUAGAGGGUAAUCAUGUCAUUUUAGAAUGUUUUACUUAGCAAUGUUUACUUGAUUUCAAUAGGUAAUCACAAUCACCAUAAUACUAAUAAAAAGUGCAGUCCUAGAAGCUACUUCAAUCUAAGUCACAUAGAAGUUUCAUUAUCAUCUACUAUGUUGUUUCAAGGAAGUGAUGUUUCAAUAGGAAAACUAAUCUAUAUUAUUACGUGUUAAUUUUUGUCCAAUUAGGAUAAUGGAGUGUUUUUCUAGCAUGUCCACAAAAGUCCAAGGUGGGACUUCACAAAAUUAAAAUAUUACUAAUUGCAAACAAUUUUCUUGCUCAACCAAACAUGCUAAGUUACUCUUAUCUUCUAAUAAUAAUUGGAUAUAUAUUAAUUCAUAAGGAAGAAUAUUUUAGUUGAUUGAUGGAAACGAGGGAGUGAAGAAUAGAGAGAGAGAGAGAGAGAAAAAAAAAAAGGAAGAAAAGUUGUGCCCUUUGACUAUUAGACUAAAAUGUGGAUUAUUUUUUUUGUGAUUGUAAUUGAUGCAAUCUAGGCCGUUGAAUUCCUGUUGAAAUUCUGAUGCAUUUUAGGUACAGCGUGGCAUGAAAGAUACCCGACCAGGAUCCGUGAGCAGCAGGGUUAGAUGCCUGACGGGGAAGGGGGAUGGCGAUAUAUAAUAAUCCGUAUUUAUAUGUUUACGCAAAUUUUGGGCCUCUGUCAAGUCAAACCUACGGAUGUAGACGGCCCAAUAAGGGUGAUUCCAGUUUUAAUGACGCAAUUGCCCUUCUAGAUCAUUAUUAAUUUUUUUUUAUUUGUUAUGUUCCAUUUUUUGCUUAGAAUGGAUACCGAGACUUUGUUUGUAUCUUAACUUUCAAGACAUCUCAAAAAACUUCUAUUUUCUAUAAACGACUAAACAUUUUGUUAUUCACGUUGCGUAUUGUAAGGGAAUAGCAUUAAAUUACGUUGCUUUUGACAAUAUGCAAGCUUAACUUCCUUUUUCCAUUCAUACUUAUUUCUUACUACACUAGUUUCUUGUUGAAACUUUGUUAAAUAGUCUAACUUUUGGACUUAUUCCCGUUUUGUGCUUUUUGUCUUGUCCACUUGUUCUUUAUUUAUGCAAAGUGUAGUAUACAUAUAUUGUCAUUAUCAGUCAAGAUAUGUUUUAAUACGUGUCUAUUUAAACGUUCUAUGACUAUUAACCAGACACUUCCAUUUUUAUGUAAUUUAUAACAGUUUUCAUUGAAUUUUGGAAAUAUUUCAAUACUUUCCCUGUUUACAAUGCUAAAAGUCGAAUUGUUAAUUCUUUUUUAGAAGUCACGUAUCCUUUCGUUUAAGAAUGCCAAUUACAAUUCGGCCAAAUAAUCUGUCUGACAACAUUAAGAAAAAAGGGUCUUAUUUUGUAUACUUAUUUUUCCAAAAAUAACAUCUAUGUGACUGUAAGCCCUCUUUUAUGUAUAAUUAAUAAAGAAUUUGCAUAUAACCAUCUAAAGAGGGGGGAAGGGUUGGAUUGGGUAAUAAAUUAGAAGAAAUUAUAAGUAGAAAAUCUUGAAUUAAAAAAUCUUUCAUAACACACACACAUAUAUAAUAUAAACCAUCAAAGAAAAGAAGAGUCAAUAAGAUUCUAAAGAUAGAUUGCAACUUCUAACUUUUGCUGCUCGAUAACCACAUGCAAGAUGACAAUAUGAACAACAAUUGGGAUAUGCACAUUCUAGUUUCAUAGAAUUGCAUAAGACAAACCUUUUAGGAUUCCAAAACAUGGGAGGGCUUUCGCUGUCAUCCUAAAAUGUGAAACUAAUCACGUAGUACACAUUAUAGUCAAAAGACAAACCAAGGGUAGAACCGUCCAACAAACGAAGACCACACAGUGUGAAUUUUUAGCUUUCAAUAUCACAUAUAGGUGACGGUCAAGAGAGCAGCGACUCUCAGAAAAAUGGGUUGACCUUUGGGCUUUACACAAAGUCAGUUCCCAUUACACUAUAAAAACUAACGACAAAACACCUCAUAAAGACAAAAUUUACCCUCUGUCCUUCACGUUGACCCUACUCCGCUUUCCUUAAAGUUCGCAAAUUAAUGUGUCCUCUUCCGUCAUUCCCUCAUUCCUCCAGCCCCAUUUUUCGUCAUUCGUAAAAAUGUCCCGCACCCUCGCUACUGCCGCCUGGCUCGUCUCCUCUCCUUUCUUCUCCCAACAUUUCAAAUUUGCCAGGUCAUCGCCCCCCAAGUAACAACCAAAUAUGUAGAAUCUCUUGUUCUCUACUUCCGGUUUCUCAUGGACCAUCGCAGCCCUCCAAUUGGAACGUCCAACGUCUCUAUUUACUCAGCAAAAGAUGAGGGAAACAAAUUUUAGUAUCCAAUCAACUGAAACGCAAUUACUAUUAUGAUAAAAUCAAGUUUCUAAUUAAUUAUUUUCCAUAAUAUGUUUGUUAAGUUUAACUUGAACUCAAAUCAACGAAAAUUCAGUUUGAUAAUUACACGUAAACGUCGUUUGAAUUUGGCUUAAAUAACUUUGAAUCUGAAAAUUCUUAAGCAAGCUUCAGACCAAACUAUGCUUUAAAAGGUUUUGAACUGUAAUUGACUCCAUGACAAAGUGUCGUUAAGUCUAAUCAAUCGUUGAAAUUGAUUACAUAAGAUGCUUAUAUUCAAAAAUUUCUGGCUUAAUUUAAAAUAUUUUUACUUUAACAAGUUUGAAUGGUAUGUAAUGGUACACGUUUAACACUACUCAUUUAGUUUGACGAUAAUUGAUAAUCAGGUCUCACACAAAUUGGUAUUAAGCCGAAUUACAUACAAGUAUUAAAAUGUGUAUUUAAAUCAUUCAAAAAAAAAAAAAUCCAUUCCUAACUCAGCCAUUUUCAUUGAUUGGAUGGUCCAUGGUACACCCCAAGUCCGUCCCUACAUCCCCAAAAUUUUCUCUCUCUACAAAAAUAAGACAGAACAACACACAAGAAGUCUUCCUCUUCCUCUUUCAUCGAUCACCCUUUUCCCUUUCUCUCUCUCUCUCUCUCUCUACACUCCCAUUAAUUAAUUUUUUAAAAAAAAACAAAAAGCCAAUAAAAAAAAAAGCAGAAAAAAGAAAAGAAAAACACGCACAACACACAGUGGCCCUCUCUCUUUGUCUCUCUCAUACUCAUAUUCUCUCUUUCAAACUUUGUACUACUACAAAACAGCAGCAGUCAGUACUAACUAUUUUUCUAGGGGUAGUAUAUUUGACUUACCUCACUCACUCACUCCCAACAACAAAAUCUCACGCACUACUGCGUGUUUUUCCCCUACACAUUUUUUUUAAAUUUUUUUUUAAAUUUUUAACAUAACUGAAAAGAAAUUUGUGCCGAAACCAAAAGAAAAGCUUCGCUCUCAGAAUUCGGCCUUGCUUCUUGCUUUCUCUGCUUCUCUCUCUCUAUAUCUAUAUCUAUACAUUCAAAGGUAGAUAAAUAUAGUAUGAUAGAUACAGGAGGAGUUGUGGGGGGAGUGAGGGGGGAGGGAAAUGAAUCGAAUGUGAUGGGAGGGGGAUUUUCGCAGCUGUUUCCAUGUUUCAACCGGCGGUGGACGGGCGGGGUGAGCCGGAGGUUCUGUUUACUGCCACCGAACCGCUCGACGAAACCCUAGGUCACUCAUUCUGUUACGUCCGGUCUUCUGCCGCGCUUCCUGUCCCCUACUCAUUCCGAUCGCUUCGUUUCGCCUUCGCAGUCCCUCCGGUUCGACGCCGAGCAGGUUCCGAAGCAGUCCAGACCCGCUGGUUUGCCACCGGAGACCGGUUUUAGAACGAUUUCGGGGGCUUCCGUCAGUGCCAACACUUCCACUCCUCGGACUGUCCUCCAGCUUGACAAUAUUUACGACGAUGCCACUGCCACUGAGAUUAGUAAUACGACGACGUCCGCUGCCGCUGCUGGUGCUGGUGCGGGAGUAGUAGUCUUCUAGGUUUUAGUGCUGGCGUCAAGGGGAGUGUUGUUAAUGGUUUUGAGAGUACGUCGUCCUUCAGCGCUUUGCCUUUGCAGCCGGUGCCACGUGGCGGAGCCGGAGAACCUUCGGGUCAGAUGGAGCGGGCAUUUUUCAUGUCCGGUCGCGAUCGAGCGCGGGCACUCUCGGGUCCGUUGGAUAGUACCGGAGGAGGCUCGCGAUGGAGGUAACAGAGUCCCAUUCUCGGCGCCCUUGGGGGGUAUGUAUGUGAAAAAGAAGAGGAGGAAGGGCAUUUCGGGAUUCGGAAGGCAUUUUACAGGAACUUCCCAGAAAAAAAGCGACCGUGGUGGUGCCCGUGCGAAACUUCGUAGGUGGCCGGAAAGGCAAGGAUGUCUCCGGCGGCGGCUCCGGUGAGCCGGAGAUGCCGUGUGACAGCAAUGUGCAGUGGGCUCUGGGGAAGGCGGGGGAGGAUCGGGUACACGUGGUUGUUUCGGAGGAGCUGGGGUGGUUAUUUGUCGGGAUUUAUGAUGGUUUAACGGCCCUGAUGCGCCUGAAUUUUUGAUGAGUAAUUUGUACAAAGCUAUGUAUAAAGAGUUAGAGGGUUUGUUUUGGAUAAUGAAGACACUAGUAGUAGUACUCAAGAAGUUACUUUAACUGCAGAAAAUAUAGCUUCUGUGGAGGAUUCGAACGACCCAUUGAGUUCGAAUCAGUUGGUAGAGGGCAGAGCUGUGGGGAGGGUUACGGAAAUAGAAGAAGGUGAAAGUGAGUCAAAUUUAGACGAGGCUACUAGUAGGGCAUCAGUUAAGAGGGUGACUUUCCAAUCAGGGGAGAUCCAGGUUAGGAGGAGGAGAUUAUGGGAAUUUCUGGCAGAAGAGGAUCCGGAAGACGGACUUGAUCUUUCGGGUUCAGAUAGAUUUGCAUUUUCAGUUGAUGAUGCAAUUAGUGUUAGCAACGCUGGAUCAGCAGUCAGUAGAAGAUCACUGUUAUUGUCGAAAUUGAAGCAUGGAUUGUUGAUUAAGCACAAGGAGAGUGGGAGUUUUGUUUCCUUGGAAGUUUGGUUUGGCCGGAAAAGAGAAGCCAGGAAGUGGAAGUAGAGGAGAAUCGAGUGGCAGAACAGAUUAGUAGUAGAAGUGGGAGAAUGCGGAAGGUGGGACCUGUUGAUCAUGACUUGGUGUUGAGGGCAAUGUUGAGGGCUCUUGAAGUGACUGAGCAUGCAUAUUUGGAUAUGACCGAUAAGGUUCUUGAUCGGUAUCCAGAGCUUGCACUGAUGGGCUCUUGUUUAUUAGUGGCGUUGAUGAGGGAUGAGGAUGUAUAUGUGAUGAAUGUAGGUGACAGUCGUGCAAUUGUGGCACAGUAUGAGCCUGAUGAAGUUAGCUCCAGUGCACAAUUGAAAGUUCCAGGUGGCAGUGGGUCAAAUUCGGAGGAGGUAUAUUUGAUGAAUUAGCAGAUGCCACUGAAAGAGAGACUGAGGUGGCAAAUGAGGCUUCUUUUCAAGCUAUGAAGUUGACGGCAUUGCAGUUGUCCACUGAUCACAGCACUAGCAUUCAGGAAGUAAGUGUUUGUAAUUUUUUUUAAAAUCUCUUCACUAAUGUAUUAGCUUUUUAUCGCUAUUUUGUUGUCACUCAGUGAAUAACAAUCUCUUUCAGUUGUGCUCCUCUGGCAGUUGCUUGCAUAGUUUGUUAUGGCAGGGAUUAGGAUACUUGAAUCUAAACAUUAUUUAGUUUAUACUUGUAGUGCUAGCUAGAAGAAUUGGCAGUACCCUUUUUUUCUUUAGCUGAAUUUCAUCUUUGCUGACUAGUAGGAUUCAAUCUGCCUUCCUAUUUUAGUUUCCAUUUUGUUUUAAUGUGCUUAGAGCAGUAUCUCUGAGCAUAAUAAACCAUCAACGUGGCAGAUGUUUAAUGUACACUGCUAGCAGAAUGUCUGAGGCAAUUAGCUUUUCUGUGAGAGUAGUGAGGUUUGUUGUGCGGCUGUUGUGCCUGUGAAGAAAUUAUUGACUGUAUCAGGAAGGUGCAAGUUUUUUGGUUGUGAGUUUUUAAGUACUGCAAAUGUAAAUUGAGUGUAAGAACAAGUCAAUUUGAUUGGUAAGGGUUCUGAAUUGAUGAUUUGGUUGCUUGAGUUCAAGCUUCUGAAUGGGUGAUCAGGAAGUUACCCUUUGUCUCUUUCAGUGUUACCUUUUAUCCACUCUCAUCUUCAGAUUAUUCAAUUGCAAAAGAAAACAAGAAAAUAGAGCCAGCUUCUGACAGCUAGUUUCCUUGUCCUUGUUUGGACUAUUAGUUGGUGGCCAACUUUAUUAAACACCCAUGAUCUGUUUGACUAAUACUGAACUAUGAAAUAUUACAUUAAGUCCUAGAAUAUGUUUUCUAACUUGAUCUUGCAAAUACAGCUUGUCUUUCCUUUUCAUUUUAGCCCAUUAUCACAUGAGAUCUCUAGCUUGUAGUAGCUUUGCUGGUGGUCCUUCAGAGUAUGUAUCUUGUUUGAAUUGAAGAAGAAGAACAACUGAUAAAUGAGCAAUUUUUUUGGUUUUUGAUGUUUUAGUUAUAGUGAUUUAGGGCCUCAUGCAGUGAGGUUCUUAUAUUUUAGCGUCUACAAGGAGUCCUCUAUUUUUCAAUUCCAAUUUGUAUGAACCACUGGAAAGCAACUCUGUAUAUACUAUACACCGUGCACCACUUCUACAAGCACCUGGUUUGUAUUUAGAGUCAGUGUGAAAGUGACUUGUUGAUUGAGGACAAGGUGACUACAUUAAUUCACCUUGUGGAUGGAUUUAAAUAAGGCAAUAAUAUCACUAUCUUGCUUAUUUUUUAUUUCCAAAUAUCAUGAAUGUAAAUCAAAGGUGGUUAGAAAUUGCGAAGACCAAAUUAUGGUUAAUUUUUUAAUUUGUCAUGAAUCUCUUCCUUAUCCGAUUAGCAUGCUGCAAGCCUCUACUUCUCGGUACAGGAGUCAACUUUGCAAAUAUCAUCUUUUCUUUGUUGUUUUCAAUGGCUUGGUGAAGUACAAUAGCUGCUGUAGGCAAUGCAUGGGUAAUACUCUAUGUUAACUAUUAUGAUUGAAAUCUUCAAGUUAUGAUUGCAGUAAGCAAUGCAUUGGUGUUAUUUUGUGUGUCCAUACUUUUACAAGAAAGUCAGCAAAACGGUUUUUGCGCUGUUUUACACAGCAUAUAUCUGUAUAAUUUGUCCAGUCUAGAUGAUAGUAUGAUACAUUAUCUUCAUAUCUGUUAUUGGGCAAACUUACGGUAAGAAUGGACCUUUCUCUUUCUGUGCAAUAUUAUACAAUCUCUUUGUGGGGCCUUCCCCCUCUAUGCAAUAUCAGAGGACCUUUCAGGCUUUUUAAACUAUUAUUCAUGUUUUGAGUCAUAGUCCUGUUGCAAGAUAGAGAGACAGUACUCCUUUCAAUUUCCUGUUCUCCUAUAUGACUGAGAUAUCAAUUAUAUGACAGUAAACCUAAUUUAUGAUUUACUAGUUUCUGUGGAAGUAUUCCAUUCUUACCUUUAGUGUUUUUAGUACAUUACGAAUCUUAACAUUUGAAGUUGGUCUAUUUAGAGAUAAUAGUUUUGGGACUACUAUGGGCAAUAAAAAAGAGAUGACAAGAUUAUGAUACUCUGCAUGCACUUAAUAUCAUUUGCAUGUUGGGUACUGGAUGGCAACUUUUCCAUUUUAUCUACAAAUUGCAUUGCUCAAUAUCAUGUUCAUCCUUUUUGCAAGUUUAUUGUGCAUGCAGUUAUUUAUUUUGUGAAGUUGCCUAUCCUGGACCCUUUUCAUGGAUAAGCGCAUGAUUCAGUCCCUCCCUCAUCCCCCGCACAAAAGGGGGGGGGGUAGUCUGAUUUAUGCAGUUUAAGGUAUUAACAUGGGAUAAUAUUCAUUUCAUUUGCUUGUUUGAUGUUGCAUUCAUUGUCCUGUUCCUGCUUUUUUUGCUUUCAUUUUUUUAAUCCUGUUUCUGUUUAAUAGCAUUUGAUUAUCUUUUUCUACUAUCUAAACUCAAAAGCAUUCUAAUUAUGAUUUUGUAACCUAUCCUUGGAGUUUGUGAAUGGAUUCUUUUCUUCUGACUUGUGUCAGGAAAUCAUUAGGAUCAAGAAUGAACACCCUGAUGACAACAAUUGCAUUGUCAAUGAUAGAGUUAAAGGUCGUUUAAAAGUUACCCGUGCAUUUGGAGCUGGUUUCCUUAAGCAGGUUUGCUUUUAACUUCUGUAUUUUGCAGUUAUUAUCUGUGCUCUAAUCAUGUCCAUCAGAAUAAAGAUGAGAGUUGUUAGAAAUUUGUUUGGCAUACUGUACAUGGUCCAGUUUAAGGUCACUUUAUAACUUUAGUUUCCUUCGGAGAGAGGCACUUUCCAAGUAUUUAUGAAGCGAGCAAAAAGGAGAACUCCAGAUCAUGAUUGACGUCAAUGGUACUGUUUUCAUGUACUAUCUGUCGAAUUUCACUACUAAUCUGUCAUCUUAUCUGCUGUCAUCCUCUCCAUAUUGAGCAAUAUAUCCAAUCGACUAUUCUCUCUGUCCUUUGUGAAACAUUUUCUCCUCCCCCUCCCUUGAAAACACCAUUGGCAAAAACAUCCUGACUGGAUACUAACAAUCUUUGUUUCGAAUUGUUGCAAUGACUAAAAGAUGGAAAUUUAGAAAUCUUUAAACUUUGAGAUUGGGUUUUUUUCUUUUUUUUCUUAACUGCACCACGAACACCUGGAAAUGUGAAGCAUCCUGAUGCACGCUUAUGUAGUAAUGUAUGCCAACGGCAUACUAUCACUCAUUUUAUAUCUUGGACAUUGUUUUAAUAUGCGUUGCUAGUCUGAAUAACAUUUUGAGAUGUCUGUUUCUGCAGCCUAAGUGGAAUGAUCCCUUACUGGAAAUGUUUCGGAAUGACUACAUUGGAACUGCUCCUUAUAUCUCCUGUUCACCUUCUCUUCGGCACCAUAAACUGUGUCCCAGAGAUCAGUUUUUGGUCCUGUCAUCUGAUGGAUUGUAUCAGUACUUGAGCAACCAGGAAGUGGUUUCUUUUGUUGAAAUUUCAUGGAGAAGUUUCCAGAUGGCGACCCUGCUCAGCACCUGAUAGAAGAGCUUUUGUUACGUGCAGCUAAAAAAGCAGGUAUAUUCACUCUGCUUGCCCUGAUAGAAGUUGGUAUUAAAACUUUUUAUUGAUUCCGUCAAAAGCAGCGAAUUUUCUUUUUAACAUUGCACAUCAUGGGAGUAGCAUGGGACUCGAGGAAAGAUAUGUUUGCUAAACUCCUCUUUAAACUUGGUUUAUCUGGCUUGUCUGCUGUCAAUAUAUGUGAAUUAUUGAUGCAGUCUGGAUUAUAGGUUUUGGAAACUUUGAAGGUUGCUAAUUAUUGGUGGUAGUGUCCAACUCCUUUCUGUAUUGUACUAUGAAUUGCUCUUUGUCCUUCAAACCAUCCUGAGAACACUUUAUCAACAAGGGAAAAAAUACAUUGUGGACUAAGUUGGUGUUAAACUUACUGUAAAUUAGGACAGGUUUCAUUAUAGAGCUAUUUGAUCUUUGCAAAUAGUGAAUCCAACAAUUAAUUGGAUGAUAUUACUAAAAACAGUUCCUACUUUUUCACAAGUAAUCAUUAUUAAAUUUAAGUACUUACUAGGCAAUCAUGCAUCACAUGUGUGAAAGAGUUCUUUUUGAAAUGGUUUUAUGUGUUAUCAAAUUUUGGCCUGCUUCCAUUUCCCAACUUCACCCUCCCUUCUCCACCGAAUAACGGUGGCAGGUGCUUAGAUAUGCAAGUUUUGCCACUAAAUGCCCAAAAAGUUUAUGAUCACUAUAACAGUGCGGAAUUUUAUCACAAGACCGUAUGAAGUUACAAAACUAAUCCAUGUCAUUGUUUUACGUGAUCUUGAUAUUACUCAGUCUGGUAUUUACCCGUGCAGUAGAUUUUUAAGCCCCCUCACAAAAAUAACUUCUCCUCUAUAAGAAAUAGCACAUGAGCCAUCUCCUGGAAUAAUAAUGUUUCCUUUAGCAUCAGGUGUUGGGCCUGGAUUCUUGUUGUUCACUCCUGCGAUGUUCUUUUGCUGCAUAUGCUUUGUAGCUUAAUACAAGAGUUGCGCAUCCUCUUAAUGCAUGAGAAAACAUCUAGGCCAGCAUAGUAAGGAUAGAAUUCUCUUUUGUCUGCAGGAAUGGAUUUUCAUGAACUACUGGACAUCCCCAAGGUGAUCGGAGGAAGUACCAUGAUGAUGUCACUGUGAUGGUGAUAUCACUUGAAGGAAGAAUUUGGAAGUCAUCAGGAAAAUACCCUUGAGUUGGCAUAACUGGUAGAAUCUCUAAAUGGUCUGUGUCUCUAGAGCUUCGAUCCUCCGGCUGUGUUGACAGCAGGGAUUAGGGAAGUUUAAGAACCAAUUUUCUUGGUUAUCAAAUUAUAAGCAUAGAGUUCGUGGGGAAUCCUGAGAGCAGGAUCAUCAAUGCUCAAAGCAAUGUGAAAAAAAUGGGUCAGGGAAAGGUAUAGAAAUUUUUGUAGUUGGGACCGCUGGAAAGUGCUUUUAGGCAACAAAGUAACAGGAAAAUUUCUUUUCCUUCUCUUUUUUAUUUGGUUCUAAAUUUUGCAUAGAUGCACGAUAUGUGAUUCAUUGUGUAUCUCUUCGUUUCGCAUUUUAGCGCCAAAAGCUGUGUUUGUAAGAUGGUGGGUUGGGAGGGGUUUAGAACAGUACUUAGAUCCGCUAUAGUCAAAAGGCGAGAAUUUGUAAUUUUGGAGGUGGGGCUUCCACCUAUGCGGCUUAUAAAUAGAAAUAUUUUACCCAAGAUGUGUCUGUAAAAUUCAGCAACGUUGCAGACCACUUGAAGAAACAGUACAGUUGUUGGUGUUUUGCCCCUUAGGAGCAAAAUCCUGAUGCUACAAAUCACAGCAAAAACUCUGGCUUACUUUUAUGGUAAAACAACCUGGGCAUUUUUUUUUUUUUGACAAAUUUGCACUAAUAACAAUGGUAACAGGGCUGUGGUUCUCGUACAUAAAAAUAUGCAUGCAGGUUUAGCACUCCAGUUUCAGUUGGUUCAUUCGAUGAUGGCUUCUUCCUCCAUAUAUAUAGGGUUGAGUGAAACUAGACUUUCGGCAUAAAUUCGACCUUCAAGCAAGGUUGAGGACUCGAAAAUGUCAUGCUCCUUGAGUUCUGCUGCUUCUAGUUCAUCCGGGAGGAGAGGCAUGAAAUCAACCGCCCGGAUCUACUCUCCAGAAGAAGUUGCUUGUCAUCCUUCCAAAGGCAGAGCGGACGACGAAUUCCAAUUGUAAAAGGCCCCAGGGAGAAUUUCUUCGUCCAAGACUCUUCAACCCGUACUCCAUCAUUACCCAUAUAUCAAUGACCUGCGGAGGGGCUGGGUGCUCCUCCGACAAGGAGGUGCAUAAAAUCAAGGCCAAGGAAUCAUUUAAGCUAACAAAACUGGGUUCUUUGUUUUCAACAAGACCCAAAUCUCCAACACAACUAGGAGGGUAGUGGAUCACAUCAAACACCUCGGCCCUCAUAUCAAAAGAAAGGAUACAGUCAGUGUCACAGGGUUGAGCCAAGGCAUGCCAGGCACGCCAGUGGAAGCGUCCCUGAAAUAACAGGUUGCAUCGGGCAAAACAAUGAUAGAAGGGCAAGAUCACAUCUCUUAAUUCUCUCAAGAAUUUGUGUUGAGAGAGUAUAGUUCAGCUUGGUAUUGACGGUCAGGCCUAUACUCUAUAGGUUCCCAAUACAGAAUCCUAACAACCUUGUAAUCAUUGGUGGAUGAGUCAAAUCCGAUUCCUACACAUCUGUCAUAGGACGAUAAUUUCAGGGCAUCCGAAGGGGCUGGGAGGAAGUUUCCUCAGUUCACGAGUGCAGGAUUGCAGAGAUAUAUGUCCAUGCCAUCGGUAAUGCAAACGAUGCCAUUGCAUGGACCAAUCAAGUGGGCAGCUUCAAGAUUGCGAUGGUAGAACCAGGUAACUUCUAUAGGUGGGCGAAGACAUAUAGAUAGAGAUUUUUCUGCUUCAUCAUUGUUGGAAUGGAAGGAUAUCACGGUUUGGUUCUCGUGCUCGAUGUAGCGCUUGAGCAUGACAUGCUUAUUUUCCCGGGACGCCUCAGAUGCAUAUCAAUGAAGGAGGGGCUUUUGAUCAAACCACACCAAGCUUUACAACACAUCUGAUUUUCAACAGGGAUUUGACGGGCAAUCUCGUGAGGAUCUCCAUCAUCACUUCCUCGGGCAGGUCCAUCCUACAAUCUUGGUGGAAGCGUUUUCCUAUACCAUGUAUAUAAGUCUGUUGAUUGUUGUGUUUCUGAAGGGGAAACAAAGAGGUUAAUAUUGGUGGGCGGGUCUUAGCGCGGUGUGUUUCUUUUUUCCUUCAAAAUAUGUACGAGGAAUGUCCAGCAAACUAUAGGGUAGACUUUUGCUUGAAAAUUUGUAUGUACUUACAUAUGGAUGGUAUUAGCUCCGGAAUUUGUCCGAGGAAGGAUUUCUGUUACAUUUGGAUGGUCUUUUCCAUGUCAAACUACUCUUAGCUUUCCAUUCUAAAUCCUAAUGGAACUAAAACACGCCUAAUUUCCCUUUGAUUCCGAUAGAACCUUCAAAUCCUCCAGACUCCUCUCUACUUUGUCUGCUUUCCAACUGUUAAUCUUUCCGGCCAAAGCUCUUUCGUGCUCUCUACCUUUUUUUAAAAAAAAAAAAAAAAAAAAAAAAUCUGGGGUGCUCUUUCAUAUCAUAAGCAUGGAGUUCGAAAAUCCUGGAGUAGGAUCAUCAAUGCUCAAGCAGAGUGAAAAAACUGGGUCCGGGAACUUUUGUAGUUGGGAAUGCUGGGAUGUGCUUUUAGGCACUAACUAACAGGAAAAUUUUUCUUCUCACCCUUUCAAUGCUCAAGCAAAAUGAGCAAACCAAGCAUGUUUUCGUAGUACUAAAUGUUUCUUACGAUGCCAAGUAAAUACUCCCAUCUCCCAGCAAGAAAUUCAGAAAAAAAACUAGACAAAGAAAAGAAAACUUGGAUUAUAGACAGAAUUACUUUACCAAGUUGUCUGCUAAAAAUUUAGUACAGUUGCAGGGCCACUUAAGAGCAAGUACAGUUGAUCUUUGCCCCUUCUACCUAAAUAAGCAUAAUCCUGAUACUACAAGUUACAAUAACGCCUCUGGCUUACUUAGACUAGAGUAAUUUGAGAAAAUAAACUUGCACUCUGUCAGGCAUAGCAGCAUGGGAUAAAACUAUAGUUAUGGCAAUUAGUACACCUAAGCUAUCGAGGCAAGUGAUGCAGCCCUCGAAUGCACCCAGGAUAUCACAUCUUCUCGAGUUGCCACAAAGAGGCCUGCUUUAUCUUCCCUUAGUUUAAAAGGAGCAGCAAGCUUCUCCGCAUGUGAAGCAAUGCGUUGGCCAAACCUUGAGAGUACUUGUGACUUCCUGCUCCAGUGCUUGCAGAUAGCACUUCUGGCAAUGCUCUCGGCGCUGGACAAGUUUUGUUAAGGUUUGCAUCCAUUCUUCAAUGCAGUAUGUGCUGCACCAACGGAGAGUGAUCGACAUUUAAUCGCCAUUCCUCCUCAGUCCUAGUAUGUAAACCUGGUAUAAUCCAUACAUUGUCCCAAAUAAAGAAGCUCAUGAGCUCUCUUCGGAGAUUUCUGUUCCGACAAAUAUCAAUCAAGCAAUUACAGAAAGGCCUCCUUGCAUCAACAGCAGUGUUGCUGAGUAUUCCUUUGAAUUCCUGCUUCACAUUCUCAAACUUAGUAUCUUCUUCUUCCAACGACUUGAUAAAGGCAACCAAAUUUUGGUUAGCCUUAUGUAAACACGCAAGGACCUUGUUUGCAUCUUCACCUUCACAGUAGGACACGACGGACAGCAAACACCCACAAAGCCUAUCAUCUGGUUUGAUACCACCACCAUCGACUGAACUCUCAAACACCUGAACCAAAUCGUCAAUUCUCUUCGCUCUUCCUAGGCACUGAAUCAAACAUGUACAUCCAUGACAUUGAGCUCAACACCCUUGUCGGACAUUCCUCAAACAUCCUCAUUGCCUUGUCAGCAUUCCCACCACUGCCAUAUAUAUUAAGCAUCGCAGUAUAGCUCAGCUGUCCGGUUUACGGCUUUCAGAUCCCUUCAUAUCCUCAAACAGACUCUCAGCCUCUUCUUCCAACCCAAGAUCAGCACACAUGCUCAACAAGAAUUAUACAAUAUGAAAUCACAGGCCAUCCAUUCAAUCUCAUCCGAUCCCAGAGCUCCAAAGCAUCUUUAGCCCAUCUUGCCUUCCCAUAAAUCCUAAUCAAUGCUGUUAGCGUCUUUUCAUUCGGGGUAAUCCCUGAAUCCAACAUUUCCUCAAACAAACUCCUAGCCAGUCCAGGCUUCCCGGCCUUACCCAUUGCUUCCAGUAGUGUAUUAUACACAACUAAAUUAGGUUGUACCCCAACUGACUUCAUUUCUUCCAAGACAUACCUUAUACCAUCAUAAUCCCCUGCUUCACCGAACACCUUCCCCAACACAGCAAAAGCAACAGGAUCAGGCUUCCAACCACUAGCCCUCCCUCUCUCAUACAAACUCAUCACCUCCUCAACCUUCCUCAGCUUUGCGUAAACAUCAAGAACAGCAGAGUAAGUCACCUCAUCAGGCAUGAGCCCAGUUUUAUACAUCCUCUCAAACCACUGGACCGCCUUAUCGAAAAGAUUACAUCUUUUUGCACAAGUGAUGAUAGUAGAAUAAGUAAUAUUAUCAAGCUCAACCCCAUUUUCAAUCAUCUCAUUAGCAAGAUUCUCCAUGUGCUGAAACUGCCUGCCAAACCUCAAAGACUUCAUUGUUACAUUAUAAAAGAUUGUUUCUAGAGGAAACAAAUUCAGGGUCUUAAUCCAAUUGAAAAAAAGAAGAGUCUUUUGCCAACUUCUCAAACUGUUGAGCACCAGCAGGGCAUUAUCUCUAUUGGGUGGAUGUGGGAUUUCUUCAAGAAUUGCCUGAAAAGCAGCGUCAUCAGCAGGGUGACAAUCAUUGAGUUUCUUGGCGAAGUGUUUGAGGUCUCUGAUUUGAGGAUUGUAGGAAUAAGAAGAGCGCUUCUGGCGUUGGAGAGAGAGGACAGACGGCUUUGGCUUUGUGGAUUGACCCAUAUGGACUUAGGUUUGGAUAAGAGUUGAUGGGAUUCAUUUGGUUGGUCAGAGAGAAUGGUGUUGGAGAGAGGCUUCAGCUGCUCGGAUAAAGAUGGGGUUUUUCUCUUUUUGGAUUCUGCUUUUCCUGGAGCAGUUUUUGGAGGAGAUUUGGAUGAAGUGCAAAAAAUGGUGAACCUUUUGGUGGAGAUUCGUAAUGGAGAGGCGGUGAAAUGUGGGGGCUGAUUUUGUCUGAAGGAUAUGAUACGUUGCAGUGGUGAACAUCUACAACUGCUGAGAGUUUUGCAGCCAUGGCGAAAUGGGGAGGGGAGGUGACGCGGGGUGUUGGUUUCUGGGAAGAUGGAGGUUUGGGUUUAACCAAAGGAACAUCUAUCUAUUCAUUUCAUGCUUGACAGUCUUAACAAUGACAUGGAUUUUUUUUGGUUUUGGGAGACCUUAUCCGGUGACAGUCAGGUGAUUCUCCGAAUGUAAGCCCUAACAAUAAAAGCUUUACAAAUAAAAACAUUAGCGGUAAGAUUAGGAAAAAGAUGUUCCAUUAAAAGGGGUUGGGAGUAAUGAUUAUUAAUGGAAGAGGAACUGUUGACAUAGGAAAAUGAUAGCCAAAAUAAAUUACUGACUUAAAAAAAGAUUUCAAAAGCUGUGGAGGAUCUAAAGUGGGAGGGAAUGGUAGGAUAAAUGUUGGUCAAAGAAAACCAUGUAUGCAAAGUUGUUGAAUUCCCGAAAGAUGAAGAGUAGGGAAUUAUUCAAGUAUACAGAGAUUUCAAAUUUGCAUGGAGAUUGGAGUGUCGAAAGAAGGAUAAAACUUGGUUUCCACUAAAAUUUGAAAAAGAUUAGGGGUCAGAACUCAGAAGGGGAAAGGGCUACAGAGGGAAGAGUAAGGGAUGGAAAAGAAUUUUAUUGAAUUCACCAAAAAGAGCAAAAAAGAUUAGAGGAUUGAAAAUGGCAGAGGAACUAAAGUGUAAAGGAAGAAUAUGUAUCUAAAAAAAGGAGACACAGAAAAUGCGUUAUAAAUUCACGAGGUGGUGCUCCGUUAAUUUUAUGUGCUGGUAAAUGGUAAAGACCGAAGGCCAGCACCUGUCCUUGGAGGAUACAUGCGAUUUGGGAUUGGGUUAAAACGUCAAUGGUCUCUUUUGCUAAUGCAAUUUUGUUUGACCAUUUCAUGUAUUACAGAGAUUCUUUGGUGGAUGCAGAUUGCAAUCGUUAUGUUCAUACGCACCAAAUAAUAGAUGCACUAGCACAACAGAGGUUAACACUGAUGCAACAAUUGUAAGGAGGACUAAGAUAGUAAUGCAUUAAAUUGUGCUUGAAUUUAUGGCAGCGUUAUUGGUAUUACAAAAAUGUAGUGAAAAAUCAUGAUAUUCAAUACAAGAUCCUGUACUAUUAAUCAACCUCAGCUCCUAAGAAGGUGCAGGAUGUACAAGUUUUCUUAUAUGAUUCUCAACUCUCUUUCUGAUAGAAGAAUCAGGAUAUCGCGCUGUCACCUCAGCUGCAAACGAGAAGAUGAGAGC
RNAcentral lists this long non-coding RNA (53893 nucleotides) under Coffea arabica (coffee). RNAcentral's name for it is "long non-coding RNA (CARA_LNC005839)". The record is from RNAcentral. Lineage: Eukaryota; Viridiplantae; Streptophyta; Magnoliopsida; Gentianales; Rubiaceae.